AAAUUUUGUGCCUUAUUAGUACUGCCUUCUCCGAAACGUUGCAGAAGCUGCACCUCCAGUCAAUGUGAUAUUAUCAAUUCAGCACUCUGCUUUCGUGAAGGGAGAUCAAACCAAAUUCCAGAUUGAACCAUCGUUUGGAGUUGAAGCCUCGCAGCUUUAUCCUCAAGUCAAGUACACUACAGUUGAUGAGUAUCUCAGUCAGUUUGUGUAACCCUUCUCUGUUGAGCUGCAGCUUGCAGGAUCUUGGGAAAUAAAUAAUUGGCUUGUUGCCAUCUUUGGUUUCUAUAUGUAAGCAUUAUGGUUGUUGGCCUUACUUUCGUUUGGUUCUCAAUGGAAUUUGUAACACGAUAUUAUGUCCGCUAUGUCAGUACACAGUGAUUAAAUAAAGUAGCUCCAUGUGCUUAAUCUAAAAAUAAUUAUAAAGUCACAAGCACCUAAAAGUUAAACAACAAUGAUAUGCUUACAACAAUGUGUACGACAUCUAAUACAACAAGGAUCAUUUUGCAAAAUAUGUUAAAUUUUAUUAAUUUCUUUGCUGCCCAAAGAUUUUUAUAUUCAUCUUAGGGACCUAUAAUCUUAAUGAAUCAUCUCUUCUUCCAUUUCUCCUACAUCUAUCCUUAAAGCCUUUUAAAGUUUUAACUAUUAUUUUAUAAACUUUUAAAUGAUUAUCAAACUUAUAUAGAUCUAUAAAUUCUAGAUGAGAUCCUAUAUUUAUGAUCAUUUACCUCUUUUGUAACAUGGACCAAAUUUUUUCUUUUAACAUUUCUAUACACACACACACACAUCUAUUUUUCCAACUAAGGAUUAUGUCAUCAAGGCUUUCACAGAGAGGUUGCAAUCUAAAUUUAGCUUCUUGAAUGAACAUAUUCAUAUUAUCAUUAUUAUUAUUCAUUAGUUAUGGUCGGUUUUGAGUUCUAUUAUUAGUUCUGCACCUAUCUUGUAUUAUUUCAAGACUAGACAAAAUUGAUUCCAUUAAUGCUAUCCUAUUUUCCUCUUCAAAGGAAUCAAAUACUUCUUGGUCGUUAUGGAUGUUAAUUCUUUUCAUUUCUUUGGACAAGCGCUUGCUUGCAUUCGAUCUGAUUUUAACAAUAGAAAUUGUAUAAACAACUUGAUAUUCUUAACUGAAAUAUAAAUUAUCAAUUGAAUCUAAAAACUUGUUAACAGAUGUUUCCAUUUUUUUGAAUUUGAGUUAAUCUUAUCACUUUUUUUCUUAUAAAAUCUCAAAAAACAAACAAGACCCAAUAUACUUCCGUUUGUUGCUAAAAUAAAAAAAAAGGUUCAAAAUUACUAUCUCUCGGAAUUCUAAGAUAGAUUCACUAAUUGCCUCCAACCAUAGAGAGGUCCAUAGUCAGCACUGCUAUAAGUCCACACAUCAUGUAAGAUCAACUUAGCAACUAUUCUACACGGCCUAAUGCAACACAUAGCAGUUUGGCCUUGUAAGAUAUGUCUAAGUGAAUUUCUUGCAAUUGUCUCUGGAAAAGUACUUAAUAACAAGAAAUCUUCCUCGUCUAACACAAGUAUUGGCCUGUAAGCUUCUUAGUUAAUUUCUAACAAAAUAUAUGAUAUCAGGAAGAUGAUAAUUUCACUUAAAAGAGUUUUUUAUUUAUUUUAUAACUAGAAAUGUUUGCAAAGGAAAGUCAUAGAGAAUACAAAUGUGGGUGAAGGUUUAGACAUAUGAUGUCCUCCAUUUCUUACAUGUUUCGAUUUAUAAGCUUGAAGAGAUAAUAUUAUCUCCUCUUACAUGACACUUGUUAAAUUUUUCUAGUGGAUUGUGGAUUCCUUUAUGAUAAGGUGACCCCUAUCUUCUUCUAUCAUUAAAGACAUAUGUUGUCAUCUUUUUCUUAUUGACUAGCAGCCUUCACAUGGUUAUGAUAAGCUUUAUCUUUUUGGAAUCUUUUCUUAUCUUUUCACAUGCCAAUUAUCAGUUCUUCAUCUAGCGGCAUGUCUUCCCCAUUAGAUUCCCAUUUUGAUCCUUUGUAGCAAUAACCAUAUGAUGACUGAUGAUUUAGCACCUUGCAUACCUCGUGGUGUGUUAGCAAGCUAGAUUCCACGAGAUUUUCAUAGAUUGCAUUUUUCUGUUUUAGUAUUGCCUAUUGUUGGAUAUAAAUUCAAUUGUUAGUGGUGUCAAUGUGCAAGUGUACACAACAAGUAGUAAAGUGAUGAGUAAUCAAGAUCGUAUCCAUAGGGAUUGAUGUUAUUAGACUUACUACAACAAUCUUAACAGUGCAGAUUUUUUUUCUAAAUUAAAAUAAAUAAUUGAUGAAACUAAUGUACUAAUUAAAAUAAAAACACAAUAAAUAAAAUGCAAUAAAGUAGAUUAUCACGUCAAAUUCAAGGAUAAAACCAAUGGGAAUAUAGAAUAGUUUAGUGAAUAAACUCUCUUAAUGGUCUUGACUAUUUUCUAAUGUUUGGCUCGGUUGUUGCAGCAUCUGCUAUAGCACUGGGAAGAAUCCUUAUGUAUCCUCAGCUGUCGCAUGUUGGAUGUCUUAUAUCUAUAUGCAACUUAAUAGUGAUCAAUUGUUAUGCCAACAUAAGAUAUAGCAUUACACGUUUAGGUUUUAAUUACCCUACAAGAUUGAUUAACACUAAAAAGUGUACGUGUAAUAAGGAUAAAAUUAUUAGUUUUUCACUUAAAGUGUUGAUUAAUGCACGCAUAACUUAUAAAUUAUAUGAAUGCACCCCAAAUAAAUUUUUGUGUUAAAUUAAUUCGCAAUAUGUUAAUUUUUAUCUUAUAAAUAUUUUUCAGGAAUAAAUUAGAAUUGAAAGCGGGAACAAAGAAGGACUGCUGGAGCAAUUUGGAAGCAUUAUUGAGGAGAUGUAAAUAAAGAAAAAAAUAAAAAAUAAAAAAUAAAAAAUAAAAAAUAAAAUAUAAAAAAGAAAAUGAAUAAAAAAAAUAAAAAAAGAACAAAAACCAAGCAAUUUAGUUUCUCAUGAUGGCCACUUGACCAUUACACAUUUCAAUGUACACAUAUAAUAAUAAUAAUAAUAAUAAUAAUAAUAAUAAUAAUAAUAAUAAUAAAAUAAAUAAAGAUAAUGCAUUCCUUGCCUAUAAAAGGCAAGGAAAAGCAGAGAGCUGGGCAUUGAGAAGUUAGAGAACUGAGUAGAGACAGCUUAAGCCGAAAGAGAAUAGAGUGCAGCUGAGGAAUUGUGUCUUUUUCUUCUUUUGUUGUAAUCAACUUUCUUGUAACGUAUUUCCAAAGUUUAUCAAAUAAAUAGAGUGUUGUAUUUUCUUUCAGUAUGAAUGACUAAUUUUAUUAAGCUGAGGUGAAGAGUGAAGCUCAAUAUUUCAAACUAUUAAAUUUAUUAUUUUCUCAAAUGAGUUUUAAAGUUUAUUUUGUUCUUUUCUAGUUAUUUUUAUGUCAUGUUAAUUUAGAAAUUUCUUUAGGAUUUGUAUAGUAUUUUGACACAAUGUCGACACAUUAAUAUAGUGUGGCAUAUUAGGUACUUUAUUCCAUAUUUAUCCACACACAUAGAAUUAAAUGAUAUAAUAAUUAACUGGUAAAAGUGAGGUAAAAUAUAAAUGCGAGAGUAUUAAAAUUAUAGUUUGAAUACUGAGAGUGGAUAUUGUAACCUUAGUAUAUUUUUAAAUUGUUUUCAAAUAAUUUAUUUUCCCACAAUUAAUUUUCUUUGUUUAAUAAAUUGACAACUAGAUUUUAAAAUUUCCUAUGGUUCGACCCCGGACUCACGGGUUAUAUUAUAAUUAGACACUCUUAUACUUGGGAGUAAUACACUUUUAAGUUGUGUCAAAGGUGAAUCUCUAUGUCUAGUUCAUCACUAAUUUUAGAUUAAGCAUGACCCUUUUGGGAUUAAAUAAAACUCAAUCCAAGAAACCCAAUCUAAUACCAAGUAUUGCUAUGAUAUGCUUCACUAAGAUAAGCCCUUGUGUGGCUCUUUUUUAGCUAGUAUCAUUAAAUGGGUGAUCAACCGAAAUAAAUAAAAAUAAAUAUUAUCAAAAUAAAAUAUUACAGCAAACAUGCAGCAACUCAUAUAUUCAGUCAAUAAACCAUCAAAAUUGCUUAUCACUCAACCACAAAUAAAUCUAGUUCACGGUUUGAAAAAGAAAAAUAAAGAACAAAGUUUUAGCCAUCAAACACAUUCCCAUGAAUAAAAAGUAAACAUGAAAAUAAGAGAAGAAUAAAAAGGACUGAGUUCCCGCUUGAUUUCUACAAAUUCUCCUCUUGUGCAGCCCUUAAUCUCUCUCUUAAAUUUUUUUUUCUUUUGUUUCUUUGUGGUUUUUCUCCUUGGGUGACAGCUCUUUCUUUUCAUUAUGAUGUGUGCUCCUUUUGUAGUUGAAAAUUAGGGUAAACAGAAGCAUAGGUCGUGCAUAAGUCAGAUUAGGAAAUUGCAAAUCACAAUAUUCUGUAAAAUUUUCUCUGUCAUCGUUCCAGAAUUGCUACAGCAACGAAUGUUAUGCUGCAGCAACGAUUGCUACAGUAAUUACUACAACAACUGCACUGUUCUAGAUUUAUUUCAAUUCUUCUGUAGUCAAGUUCUUUUUCAUCUUUUACAAGACUAUUACAACAACAUUCCUUUCUUGAAAUUUGAGCUUCCGGUCACCUACAAUUAUGCAUAUAAUUUAAGCACACAAUUUAUUCUAAAUCAAACAAAAUUUAUGAAGAAUAAACUAAGAUGAAUGAUUAUGCAAAAUAUAACUAAAAUGCAAUAAAAAAACAUGUUAUUUACUCUCAAAGUAAUCUUGAUUUAAGUCUAAAAGUGUCAUGAUAACUCUCAUUUUAUAAAGUUAUCACCUAUCUGGCUAAGAUACUUUCUUUUCUACUAAAAAAAAAGAUUAUAUGGUCCUUUGUGGCUUCAUGGAGCCAUAUUUUUUUCUUACUUAUCCUCUCGAGAAAUUCAUGGAGGACUUUCAUUUAAAUGAUCUCUUUGCUCGUGAGAGCUUUAGGCUCGAAUAGUUUGGGAUAAUAAUCAUUGUAGACCUGACCUACAUCAACAGUUGGACUAACUUUUUUACUACUAAUCCCAACUUAUAUCUAUGUGCUGCACUGGAUACCAUUUGUUAUUACAGUGUUCAGGGAAAGCAGUGAGAAUCUUGAAAAAAAUCAUAUCUCUUGUUUUAGAUAUUCUUUUGAGAUCACUGACAGCCUUUGUAAUUUUUUCGGGGAGCUUUUUUAAUUCCCUACAUAAACAAGGUUAAAAAAACUAUAUUCAAACAUUUCUUUUAUUAAUUUUGCAUCAGCUUCUGGACCAAAGUUAAUCCUUAGGUAAUAUCCUAAAUGAUUCGGUAUUAUAGCUUGGCUAGGACAAAUCCCAUAGGCUAUUUUACCAAUUAUUUUACAAUCAUAAGUGUAAUUGCUUCCUAGUGGAAUUUUAACCAUUAGAAUGGAUUGUUCGCUUUUAUCAUAUUGAGGCCUUAAGCUCACUGAAGAGGUUUAAGAUUCUUUUUUCUUUUGAGUUAUAUGAAGAACUCUAGGUAGUCUGCCCUUCAGUUUGAUCCUUGAAAUGGAUCUUUUUUAGCUUAUUACUAAUAUAUUGUUAUAAAGUCUGGACUUCUGGAUGAUUUUGCAAACUUUUGUCAGGGCAAAGUCAGCUCAAUUCUUCAUGGGCAGCAUUAAUCAUGACAAGCCCAUCAUAAAUCAUACUAUUGCCUUUGAGAAGCAAUUCUUGUCCUUUAGAGCACAUCAUUAUGCCCUUAAUUAUUUCGGAAAGACUCCUCUCCAUGUAUUCUCGGCUAAGAAAAUCUGCAAUACAAGGGUUAGGUCAUUUAAUAUAUUCAAUUCAAAAAUCAUAUUUAGUAAAGAACUGCCGCCAUCUAAUUAAUCUUUUAUAUUAAGGGAGAUUAGACAAUUUAUUAAAUAUAAAUCCUUUGACUCAAGUGUUAUUAGAUCUUACCUUGAAUUUCUUUGGUAGCAAAAAGAAAGUAAAUUUAGUUAUUCCAUUUUUAAAUAUAAAUGUUUCGCUGACAUAUCUGCAAAUCUUUUCUUGAUCUAUUUUUAAAACUGCACCCCAAUGAUUAUCUGAAGCAUUAGUUUCAAGAAUUAAAUUAUCACUAGUGGUAGGAAAUCCUAAUCUUGGUAGAUUUUUACAUUUUUCUUUUAAUCUUUUUCCCACUUUGGUAUAAAGAUCUUCCCAUGAUUUUAUAUUGUUCUUUUUUAAUAAUCCUUGUGAAAGUUGUUUUUCUUUAACUAAGUUUUAUAUGAAACCUUCAGCAUAAUUAAGGCAUCCUAAAUAUCUUUGAAUUUGUUCUUUAGAUUCUAAUUUAUCUAGGAAUAAAUAUAUAUUUUCAAAAAUAUGAGGUUGCAUCUCAAUACCUAUUUCAUCUAUUAUUAAUCCUAGAAAUUCUAUUCUAGGUUUCAUUAUUUCGGCUUUCUUUUUAGAAAGUAAUAUUCCAUGUUUCUUUCAUUUUUCUGUAAAAGAAACGAGAUGAUUAAUAUGAUCUAUCUCAUUAUCUAAAUAUAUUAGAAUAUCAUCCAUAUAAACAAUGCAAAAUUCAUGAAAUUCUUUGAAGAUUUUAUCCAUCCUUCUUUGAAAUAUUUGUGGUGCAUUUUUUAAUCUAAAAAGCAUCACAAUCCAUUUAUAUUGUCCUUAAGGUGUACUAAAGGCAGUAAGUGGUAAUACUCUCUUCUACAAGUUUGAUUUGCCAAAAUCCAUAUUUGCAAUCAAACUUGCUAAAUAUCUUUUUAUUAAUUACAAAGGUAAUUAAUAUAUUUUUAUGAGGUAAAAAGUAUCCAUCAAAUUUGGUAUAUUUAUUUAAUUAUUUGUAGUUAAUAACCAUACGAGCUUUUCCUCAUUUAAUCUCUACAUGAUUCCUAAUCAUAAAGAUUGUACUACUAUGAGGACUUUUAAAUUAUCGAAAAAUCUUAAGUUCUAAUCUCUUUAAUUUGUUUAUCAAUUUUUUGUCUAUCUUCUUGCCCAUAUCUCAUAGGCUUAACACAUAUAAUAACAUUUGGAUCUUUUAAUUCGAUCUUAUCAUAUGCUUUAUCAAUUUCCCAUAAUUGAAUGGGGUUUUCACCAAAAUUUUUAUCAAGUUUUUCUAAAUUUUUUUCAUAAUUUGAUAUGAUUUGAUUGAUUUUUAUAGCAUAAUUACCACGCUAGUUGUGUUGAAAAUGUAAUUUUUGAGUUGUUCACCUAACAGGGUUAUAAAUUCUUGGUGUAGUAACGGAAUGAUUACAUGAUGUUUUAAGAAUAAUUAUUUCGUUAGUCAUUGUAUAAAUGAACUGAUGAAGGAAAUUAAUUCCUAAAAGUAUAUCUACACAUAUAUGAUCAUAAGACCAUAAUAUAGGGAUACUUAGGAUAUAAUCUUCUAUUUGGAUUAAAGUCUUAAUCCUACAUGUCCUUAAGGUGAUCUAUUUAACAUUUAUUCCUUGUCCUGUUAAAGGCUUAUAAUCUUUCCAAUAUGAUUUUGGAUAAAACCUAGAAUUAGCUAAACUAACUCUUGAACCAGUAAUAAUUAAAGCAUGAAACCAUUCUCGCUUAUGCUUAUAGUAUGGUAUGAUCAUUUUUAUAUGAACUACAAAAAGAUUAGACAUAUCUUGAUAUGGUUUGCUUAAUCCCUUCAAUUGUUAUGCUUAUUUCUCUAUCUCUUAUGCAAUAAGGAGAGAAAUUUUCAAAAAAAAUUCAUCCCUAAUAAUAAAGGAUUUAUUUUUGUUUCAUAAUUUGAUUCUAUGAAAAAAAGAAAGAUAAAUUCUAUUCCUUUUAUUCUUAAUGGUAUUUCACACUACUGACUUAAUGUCUUUCUUUCUCCAUUAAAGCCUACAUAUGUAUGAGGUUCAAUUAGAAUCUUUCUUUCUAAAUAUUUAAUCAUUUUGGCAUCAGCAUAAGAUUUUACUACUCCUGUAUCAAGGAUAGCAAAAGUCUCAUGGCAUGAUUUUCUAUUAUUCUAUUCAAUCUUGAUUUUUAAGUUUUGAUUAUUUUUCUAACUGUGGCCGAUAUUUCAUGUGAUAGUGGUAUGACAAGAUGGUUACAUCUAGUAUAACUUUGGGUUCUACUUAAUUAUGGUUCUAUUUUGAGUAUAGAGAAUGAUCUUCUAUUUCCUAUGAUGAUUCUUCCUUCUAGAGUAUAUUCUAUGGGUUUAGUAGUAUUUCCCCUUAUCAGAGUAGGUUGACUACUUAGAUCCAUUUCCCAUUCUUCUGGUAAAUUUAUUUCUCUUAAAAUUUUAAGAGAUUGUGUCAUUCCAACUUUCUUAACUAAUUUAUCUAUUUCAAUAAAAUCUUUAUUAGCAAACAUUUCACUAUUGGCUGAAUUUGUUAAUGCAUAUUCUAUGGCAUACGUUAUGCUAUAUGGAUAAGAUCUAUCAUGCAUUAUAUCAAAGUAUUUAAAAUUACGGCAUAAGGUUAAUUUAUUUAUAUUUCUAUCUCUAAAACUUAUAGAAUAUAUGGAAUAUAUCUUAAAUAUCAAUUUUUUUUUUAUAACUCAAGUUCUUUAUAUUAUUCCAAGGAGUGCAUGUUUUCGAUCUUUUAUUCUAUUAUCAAGUACUGCUAAAUUUACAGGACUAUCUAUUUCUUUUCGAAAAUGAGCUUUUAUCAUGACUUGGAUUCUUCCAAUAUGGACAUAUCCAAUCUUAGGUCUGUCGCUAGAUUUUAUCUUUUAUAUCAGAUUUUAAUAAUAAUGGUAUAUUUUGUAUUUCCCCUAGCAUACCUAAUUUCAACAAGCUCUUCUCACACAGUAGCACUAGAAUACGUUAUAUUUUUUCUUUUAAUCAUGUUAGCAAUUCCUUGUGCUAACUUAUUAAUUGAAGUCAUGGAUGAUUCUAAUCCUUUUUUUUUAAUCUUAAGGUAUUGUUUUUUUUAUCAAAGAUUAAUUCUCUAUUAAAAGAACCUUAUUCAUUAAUUCUCUAUUAAAAGAACCUUAUUCUUCUAAUUCUUCAUCCUGAUAUAAAUCUUUAUUAUCUUGUUCUUCUAUACUCAUUCUGAAUCUGAACUACUUGAAGUUUCUUCAGAAAGAUAAUAUAUAUUAUCGUUUUCACUAAUAUCUUCUCUAUUUGUAAUUAAUUCUAAAUUGUUGAAAUCCUCAAACAUCUUUAUGUUUGCUUUCUUCUUUUUAGGACAUUCGUUUGCAUAAUGCCUAUCGUCAUUGCAUAACCAACAUUUAGAUGCAUUGGUCUUAGAUUUUCUUUUAAAUUUAUUUUUCUUGUAGAAUUUCUUCUUAUAUUUACUUUUGUUGUAAUAUUUCUUGUUGGUUUUAAAGAAUUUCUUCCUACGUUCAUAGAUUUUAUCUGAACAUCCAAAUCUUGGUGGAUCUUCUAACUUAGAACAACAUAAUCCUCGAUUUUGCUUUUUUAUAAGUCUUUUAUCUCUUAUUUCAGCACACCAUUCGCUGAUUCUAUUUCCAGUAAAUCUGAUCUUAUUUCCUAAGGUAUUAGUUUUCGUUGUAUCUUCAUAUUUCUUGUUAUAUUCUAACAUAAUCUUUUUCCCCUAUAGGUCUGGUAUCUUUAUAAAAUAUAGAUCAUUAUAAUAGCAUAUGAUAUUUUCAUGUUUAUCAAAUUCACAUUUAUAAUAUAAUUUUUCGAGGCUACAUGUGUAUUCUUCUAAAUAACAUAUAUUACAUAUUUUAAGCCUUAUUAGCUUUAUUACAUUUUCCAUCAUUUUCCUCUUUAUUUCCUGUUGAAAAUUAGUUUCCUAAUCUUCUCCUAAGAAUUCUUUCCUUAUUUCAUUUUCAAAUUUAUUUACGACUUGAUCCAAGCUUUCGUCAUGAUCAUUAUUUUCUCCAUAUAAUAUUUUAUUUUUGUCGGUAUCCUUUAAUUCCAUAAACCAAUGUGACACUAUUCCUAUAAACGAAGUUUUAAGAAAUCCUAUACCAUUAUUUCUAUCUAUUUUGUUAAAUGCAAAUGCCUUUUUCAUAGAUUUAACCCAAGCGGUAAUCGUUUAGUCUCUAUCUUUGACACAGUCUAAAUCCAACCAUACUCCAUCAUAGUUGAUUGGUCUGUCUCUGUAUUCUCUUGGAGUUUUAUAUAUAUUUUUUUAGGUUUGUUAACCCUAAAAUAUUGACCUUGUGGUUUUCAUGAGUUGGUAUUUCUUUCCUAGCAUAGGAACCUCUAUUACUAGAUUCCCUUUGUUCAAAGACCCUUGGCUUUGAUUCAUUCAUUUUUAAAUGUUCUAUUCUAUUUUCAAUAUCUUGUAAGUUAAUAAAUACAUCUUCUUCCUCUUCAGAUUCAUAUUCUUUAUCGGAUAUCUCUGGAUUAGAUAAUUCUUUUAAUCCAUUAUCUAUAUUUUCACUUAACAUCCUUAAACUUAUUAAUUUUUAUCUUCAUUUAUUUUGUUAAAUAUUGGUCUUGAUAUUGCUACCAUUUUUUUAUUUUUCUUUUCAUCGUAGUAAAUUAUGGUAUCUUCUAAAAUUUUAUUUUUUUCUUGAAUUACCAUGAGUAGUUCUUCCAUAUUGUUACUAAUCUUUUGUACUUCAAUCCUUUUGUAAUUUUCCAUUUAUACUUAUUGCAAACUUGUUACCAAGUUGUUCAAUGAUUUUUUCAAUUUUAUAUAAUUGAAUUUCUAUCUUAUUUAAUUUAUCUUCAAUUAAAUUUUUGUUCAUGACAUUAAAGAUUUCUUGUCUGAAUCUAAUCUUAAUCUUCAAUUUUGAAGUCUUUUAUUAAUUGUUUGACUGAAUCAAAUUCUUCACUUAUUUAAUCUCCUAACAUUUUAAUUUAUCUUAUAUUUUGAGCAUUAAAACUUUUAAUUUCAAGUAUUUCAUUUGUACUUUCUAUAUCAUUUAUGGUUAAAUUAUGAUUUCCUAAUUUAUUUAAUAAACAUAGUGAAAUCCAGUUUAACUGAUUAUUUCCCCAAAAAUCAGAAUCAUUUACCAAAUUAAAUGGUUGAAAUCUUCUAUAAGUAAAUUCUCUAUGCCUACAACUAGACGGUGGAAAUUUAUAGGUUUCUAUGUUUUGUGAAAUUAUCAAUGGUUCUAUAAUUUAUUCAUAGUACCAUCUGCAUAAUAUUUCAUUAUAUGCUAACAAGUAUUUGUGACAUAUAAUAUCUCUUAUAUCGUUAGGAAUAUUGUUUUCUUCUAAUCCUUUAUAUAUAUAGCAAUAUACAUAAUAAAAUUUUUAUAUCCUAUCAGCAUGUUACUAGAAGGAUAGUAUUUACUUCUAAUCCUUUUAUUAUUCCAAUUGUAUUCAUUUCUUUGCUUAAUAGUUAAAAAUAUAUUAUAAUCAAUCACAAGUUCGUCUGUAUAAUUCUCAACAGAAUUAAUAUUCCAUUUUUUUUCAUGAAAAAUUAUUUCUAUAAACCUCUCUCCUAGUUCUCAAUAGGAGAAUAUGAUCUAUGUUUAAAUUUCUAUUCUUUAUUAUUAUGAGUUCUCCAAUUCUAAAUUCAUGAACUUGGGAUAAAUACAAUUGUUCUAAUUGUUUAUCAUCCAAUCUAUUUUGUUUUGAAUAAUAAUAUUGUGUAUGUUUAGUUAUGUUAUCCUUAAUUGUAUUACUAUCUAUCAUUAGAUUCUAUCCUCCAUUAUUUAUAAAAUAAACAAUCGUUUCUUCCAUUUUUAUAUUUUGAACCUAAAACUUGCCUUUGAUACCAAUUUUGCGAAUAUUUUUCAACCCAAAAUUCAAAUAAGGAUGUAAAUGAUUAAUUUUUAAAACUUUAUGAAUGCUUUGUAAUUUUGUUUUAUUAAAAGACAGUUUUAUGCAAAGUAUUGUGCAAUCUUUUGGAAGAUUGUCUUUUUCCGAAGUUAAAAGUAAUUCAUCAAUAUUUGACAUGUCAAACGCAGAAAUUAAAAGUAAUUCAUCAACAUUUGUCGUGUCAAAUUUACUUUAUGGAGGAGAAAUUGUAGGAACCAAUUUUAUGGGAUAGAAAAUUCUAGAAAUCCAAUCGAAAGAUAUUUAAUAAAUAAUUUUGUAGUAGAUUAUGUUAAAUAUAAUAUAUAAUAAAUCCAUGAGUUGUCACUCAUGACAAUUCAAUUAUUUAGUUUUGACUAACAAUAUUAUUACGUAUAACGUUAAUAUAACAUAGCAUGAGCCAUUUUAUAGUAUUAUUUUAACUGAAUUGAAAUUCUCGAAAUAAAAAAUUGAAAAGAAUGAACCUGGUGGUUGUUGUGAACCAAAAACAAGCCAGUAUUAUGCUUACAUCAUUCCAUUCUACAGUAAAGGUUAUUUAUAAUCAUAAUUAUAGCACCAAAUUAAUUGUAUUAUUAUAAGAGGUUAUAACUUAAUAGAUGUGUAAUUAUAAAAAUUAUUAUUUUAACUUAAUUAUUUUUAGUGCCAGUGAUAUGGAGACCAAAUAUGCACUAUAUUGAUAAUUAAUUAAUGUAGCAUGUCAAAUUCAAUUUAUAGACAAUAAUGAAAGAGAUACACAUAUUUAAAAAAACUAGUACGUAUAUUAUGUAAUAUUGGAAUUAUGCAAAUUUAUCUUGAAAGUUUAAAGAAUAAAUCAUUGUCCUAAAUAAUUUUAGAAAGUUAUUUUACUCCAUCUUAAACCUUUAAUACAACAUGGCAUUUUUUUUUAACAAUAUACCAAUAAUUAUUAUUAUAUAAAGGCAAAUUUCUUAAAAUCAUAUUUAAAAAAAUUAUAAUUCAUUAUAAUAUAGAGUUUAUUCUUAUUUAUAACUACUAGGCUUAAUAAUAGAACGAGUUGUACCCGAGCCAUGCCAAGACCUAGCCCAACCCUAUGACUAGAAUGAAGGGAUCUUUUUAUCAUUAUAAUAACUACCUUUCAUCAAUUUUUUUUUUAAAACUAUAUAAAGAUUAUUCUUACAUGAAGUAACAAUACAAGGCCCUCAUUAAGAAAUGAACCUGGACGACAUUAGGGCCUUUAUCCACAAACAAAAUUUCAAAACAUACUUAAAAAAAAAAAUCCAACACAUCCGUUAAGUACAACUUUAACAUGGUCACAUGAAAUUUGUGGGGUUAAUUUAUUUAAUUGUAUGCACCCGUUUGGUUUCAUUGAUCUCAUGGCUCAGGUUGAUAGUUAUUAAGUUAUGAGUCAUGAUUACCUAAAAUUUAUUUGGUUAUCCGUUAUUCUAAUGUUGUAUUUAAACCAUAAAACUAGAGAUAACAAAAUUUAUGAGAAGUUUUGUCUUAUCACAAUGUCUAUUACUGAAGAACGUAGUCCUCUUGAAUAACCAUGAUAAUUUAUUUAAUUUCUUUUGCUCUAUCUUAAACAUAUUAUAAUUGUAGUCAAAGUUUUGAUAGUAAAAAUAUAAAUAAAUAGAUAAAACAAAUGUGUCUAUUUCCAUAACUAAAGGGGUGUAUAUAUACAUUUGGACCAACCGAUAAAAUUUAGAUCAUGACAUUAGGUGAAAAUAAUCUUAUUUUAUUUUCUUUAGAUUAUGUUGGAGUUGUAACUUGCAAUCGAACAAUUCUCGAUUGAUUUAACAAAUGACCUUAAGGCCAUGUUUGCUUGGGGUAGAGAAGUGGGGAGAGGAAAAGAAUUUGAUUUCUUUUAUACUUUCCAUUGUUUGGUUAGACUAAAUUUAAUGGAAUUGAAUUUCCAUCAAUUUGAAGAAUUUGUAUUCCUUAUCAAUGAAUAAGGAUUUCAAAUUCCUUAUCUAUUUAAACACAAAAAUUCUAAUAUUAUCCUCUAAACAAAAUCAAUUUUAAAUAAAUGAAAGUAAAAAUAAUUUAUAUUUAUUUUCUUAAAUUAAUAGAAUAAACUUAUUUGAAAAAAGAAAAAACAGUAAAGGGACUCCCCAAAAAGUCACCGGAGUUUCGCCGGAGACGCGCUUUACCAUCAAAACCGGUACCGAUGGAAUCCUUAUGAGUCAAUCUACAACUCUAUGGGGUUAGAAAUGCUAAUAUACAUUGUUAUUUACCUCAAGUCUUAUUUAAAUGUUUGGGAAAAUUUUAACUCUCAUAUUUCCAACUAUAUAGUGUAUUUUCUUCAAAAUUAACAUUUCUAAUGAGUAAAUCAUCCAUUUAUGAUCAUUAUUAUGCAUUUAACGCGAUGAAAAAUGGAGGUCAAUGAUGGUCAAUGGCACCGGUCAAUGGUGGUUAAUGGAGGUCAACGUGGCAGCUGUCCAUGGCCAAAUGCUGUCAUUUUUAAAAAAAAUAAAAUUUUUUAUUUAAUUAGGUAAUUUUUAGAUUAAAUUAAUUCAUAAUUUUAUUAUGUUUUAAUUUAUUAACAAUAUUAACAUUAAAGAUAGUGGGUAUAUAUUUGUCCAAAUAAAAAAUAUGUAAUUUCUUUUCCUUUUAAAUUUUAUGUGAAACCAAACAAUAACAAUUAAUUUUUGUACUCUUUUCCUCUCACCACCUCUCCAUUCCUCUUUUUUUUUUUUUUUUUCUCCUCUCCUCUCCUCCCAUUUCUUAAAACCAAACACCUCCUUCUUAGGAGGUGUUUGGUUUUGUAAAAUGAAAAAUUCUAUAAAUAUGAUUUUGUUGAAGCCUUAAAUAAACCAUACAGUCUGUGCCGCGUAGAAUGGGAUACAGAAUUUUGUAUUUAGCUUGCAUGCAAAAUGCAACAUGCUUACGUGUGUCUAAUUUUCUAAAUAUCUCAUCCAUGCGGCAGCUAGCUUAGCCUUUUUAUAUUGAAUAAUUGAUCAUACAAGUGUAGUUUGUUAGUUUUACGCAACCCACGUAAAUCAAUUUUAUUACGCAAGAAUUAUUGAGAAAUCGCAAAUUAAGUUGAACUGGUCCAUGGUCAGAUGGUCUCGUCUCGUCUCGUCUCACCACUUGGUAUUGAUGCCAUGGGAAAAGAGUAGUUGGUUACUUGAUUUUUUAGACUUGGGGUGGCAUUGAAAAAGAUUGUUGAAAAGGAAUCGAGUGAAUCAAAUCGAAUUAGUUUGUCUUUCUGUACAAUACAUCCCCCAUUAUCUAGCUUAUUCAGUCUUGAGAAUUAUUAUCUGAUUUUGAUCCCCCAUUUAAACUUUUUGCCAAGACUAUCCUAGAAAUUGAUUUGUUUAUCAUUGCUUCUUGGUCCUUACGGUCUUUUAUGAAUCACAAUCAAUUUAAUCAUACAUAAAAAUACGGGUACAAGCUGGUUAGCUUACACGCUUCCUAUAUAAGAAAGGUACGGGAAUCAGAUUCAAAAUAUCCAUCCAUUCAUAAUUUAAAAAAAAAAAAAAAAAACUCCGGAAUUGAACUGAACGAGUUUCAGACAUGGCAUCGAAAUCCAAGAUUCUAUCCAUCGGCGGGACAGGGUAUAUCGGUAAAUUCAUCGUGGAAGCAAGCGUUAAAGCUGGUCACCAGACACCAGACGUUCGUGCUCGUGAGAGAAUCCACACUCUCUGAUCCCUCCAAAUCUCAACUCCUCGACCACUUCAAAAACCUCGGCGUCAAUUUCGUUAUCGUGAGUUAUCAUUUUUUUAUUUUUUUAAUUCCAUUAUUUUGACCCGUGGCAGUGUAGUAUCUACUUGAAAGACUUAGUAUUUUUAUUUUAUUUUAUUUUAUUGGGUGCCGUUAUUAUUAUGCAGGGAGAUGUUUUGAAUCAGGAGAGUUUGGUUAAGGCGAUAAAACAAGUGGACGUGGUGAUAUCAACAGUUGGUCACACUUUAAUAGCCGAUCAGGUCAAGAUUAUUGCUGCCAUUAAAGAAGCCGGCAACGUUAAGGUAUGACAUAAUUAUAAAUAUCUUGGAUCAGGAUUGUGCACUUGCGCACACGUGGUGAUUUAUUAUUGGCGUGGAGCUCGUUGUAGACUAGAGCUCCCUGUUCCGCCAAUAAACACCCGCUACAUGCACAAUUGCGCCCUCAAGAUAAUUUAAUUAACUAAUUAAUUAUAAACACCUAUGGCGUGAAUGCAACUAAAAGUAGCUGAUGUUUGUAAAUUAUUUAUUAUUCAGAGAUUCUUCCCGUCGGAAUUUGGGAUUGAUGAUGAUCGAAUCCAGGGCGCCGUAGAGCCAGCAAAAUCAACGUAUGUCGUAAAGGCGAAAAUCCGCCGAGCCGUUGAGGCAGAAGGCAUUCCGUAUACUUAUGUAGCAUCGUACUGUUUGAAUGGCCACUUCCUUCCCAAUUUGUCGCAGCCUGAGGCCACUGCCCCCCCUAGGGAUAAGGUCGUCAUCUUAGGUGAUGGAAAUCCAAAAGGUAAAAUAAAUUAAUUAAGCUCAUUGUUUUUAAUAAGAUUGUUGAAAAUAACCAUGUUUAAGGCUCCGUUUGUUUGGUAUAUGUUGCGAUGUUAGUGUUAUGGCCUAUUGUAGAAUGGAUGGUCUAGCAACUUAGUGUCUAUUUGGUACUGUUGUUGGAGAUUUUAAGAUAGAGUUUUAAGUGAUUACCAGAUACUGAACUGCCAUAUCAUGGCUGCCACACAACAAUUUCAAACAGAGCCUAAAUAACUUCAUUGCAAAAUAGUUAAAUGAAUCUAACUUAGUUUGGUCAUUUGAUUUUCAGCUGUUUAUAACAAGGAAGAUGAUGUUGCAACCUUCACAAUCAAAGCGGUUGACGAUCCGAGAACCUUGAACAAAAACCUUUACAUUCAGCCUCCCGGCAAUAUUUAUUCGUUCAAUGAUCUUGUGUCUCUGUGGGAGAGAAAGAUUGGCAAAACCCUCGAAAGGGAGUAUGUUUCAGAAGAGCAGCUCCUAAAGAAUAUUCAAGGCUAGUUAAAACUCUCACUUCUAAAUGUUAUUAAAGAAAGCCGCGAAUUUUUGCCUUAUUGAUCCUGUCUUCUCCAAAAUGUUGCAGAAGCUGCACCUCCACUCGGGAGGUUGUUAUCAAUUUAUCACUCUGCUUUCGUGGAGGGAGUUCAAACGGACUUCAAGAUUGAACCAUCGUUUGGAGUUGAAGCCUCGCAGCUUUAUCCUGAUGUCAAGUACACUACAGUUGAUGAGUACCUCAAUCAGUUUGUGUAACCCUUCUCUGCUUCCAGCUGCAGCUUGCAGGAUCUUGGACUCUGGGUAAAUAAAUAAUGGGCUUGUUGCAAUCUUUGGUUUUUAUAUGUAAAAAUUAUGGUUGUUGGCCUUACUUUCUUCUGGUUGUCAAUGGAAUUUGUAAGACCAUUUUAUGUUUGCUAUGUCAGUGAUCAAAUGAAGUAGGCCAUGUACUUGAUCUGAGAAUAAUUAUAAAGCCAACAUGGUCAGGUGAGUGCGUCUGUGGGGCUUUUAUUAGGGUGCGUGUGUGAGGCUUCUGAGGGGCUUGUGAUAUGGGGUCUACAGCCCCUAAUGGGCACGCGACUGCGUGCACUAAAUGAAGUUAUUAUAAAAAUAAUUAUAGAGUCACCAAGGCAAAAAUUAAAAGUAAUUUGCCAAUAAAAAUAGUUAAAAGUAAUAAAAAGUAGGUAUUAUAUUUCAAAAAUCAAUUUUUCAUUAAUGUUUAUAAGAUUAAAUUUGUUCUUAUCUUUCCUUAAUAAACACAAAAAUUUAUCGUUUUGGACUAAUUAAAAUUUUAAAACUAGCUAACAAGCAAACCGCCAUUAAUUUUUUUUUUUCCAUUUCUUUAAUCAUUCUUUUUUCUCUUUUUGACCUUUUUCUUUUUCUUUUCUUCAGUCCUUAUUUUUCUUUUCUUUUUUGGUUUUCCUCUAAACUCUUUAAGAAAGGCUGCCAAGCCUUGAAAAUAUCUCAAAAAAUAAGAUUUUCUUUCUUAAGAUUAACAUUUUAACCACAAAAAUAAAACUCUAGUCCAAACAUUGAGCACUUACAAAUCAAACGAUAAAAACCUCUUAUUAGUACAUUAACCGUAAAAUAAAAAAGAAUUAUCACAAAUAUUGAAAUGUUGUUGUUUGAUGCUUGAGAUUCUUGAAAUGUAUGCAGAAUUCCGACAAUAUUUUGUUGAAGCAACUCUCGGAAACUUGUUUGUUGAGAUUGAUGAAGAGUCCAUGGCAAGUAACCAGGCAUAUUGCAAUCCUUGUAAUUAUUCUGACCGAGAACAAUAAAACAAAAAGUGAAAACUGAAGAAAAUGAUAAGAAAACAAUAGAAUAAUAAUAUUAAAAACUCGCUAAUCUUGCCCAAUUUUUUUUUUUUUUGGAUAAUGUUCAGCGUAUACUAGAAUCUUUUAGAGCAGAAGCAAAACAGCAACAACUUUUCAAGAAAAGAAAAAAAAAAAGAAUUAUUAAAGAAAAUGGAAAAAAGAAUUAACGGCAGUUUAUUUGAUAGCUUUUAGAUAGCCAAAACCGGUGAGUUUUUGUGUUUUAAUAAGGAUAGUUAGGAAUAAAUUUAAUCCUCUCUAUAGAAUCAUUUAGUUACUAUGUGUCAAAAUCUCCUGUAAAGAAUAGGAAAAAUUAAAUUAGAAGAGGAUCCAAAUCAGGACUUGACUAGCUUACAGAAUCUGUAAGCUACGGACUGCAGCAUCAGCCGUUGGAUGUGGUUGGAUGUGGAGUGAGAAAUUAAACAAUAGAAGAUCGGAUGGUGGGAUGACGGGAGAUGUUUGUUACAGAAUCUGUACCAUAGACAGGUCCUCCAAAUCAUCAACAUCUUGGAAUAAACAAAAGAAUCUAAACAAAAGAAACUCGUUUUGCGUGUGAACCAGUUCAAGAUAAAGAGCAGACUAUUGGAAAGAGACAAAUACUACAAGAAUAACAAAACAUUCUACAGUUACUACAUAAGCCUGCAACAAUUAAUUAUUAACUCAAGAUUUAUUACACUUUUUCUUUAAUUUGACAAAGAAACCAAAAAUGAAAUAAAAUUGACAACAGCAAUGAUAUGCUUACAACAAUGAGUAUGAAACUUAGUACAACAAGGACCUUUUUGCUAAUUUUUUCAAAUUUUUAUGAUAUUUUAGAAUUUAUGGGUUUUAUUGAUUUUGAUAAAUUGGAGCAUUUCUCCAUUCAUCUUUUCUGCAUCUAUCCCUAAAUUUCUUAUCUUUGUAAAGUUUUAACUAUGUCUUUGUAAAGUUCUAAAUGAUUAUCUCGUUCAUAGAGAUCUAUAGUUAAAUUAAUUCUUGUAUUUAUAAUCAUUUGUCUCCUUUGAGACAUAGACCAAAUUUUUUCUUCUAACAUUCCUAUGUAUAUUCCUAAGCUAUAUUUCCAGCUUAGGUACAUCUUAUCUAGGAUUUCACAAAUAAAUUGUAAUUUGAGAUCUGCAUCUUGAAUCAACAUCACCAUAUUAUUAUUAUUAUUAUUAUUAUUAUUAUUAUCCAUUGUUUUAUACUCGAUUUUGGGUUCUAUUACUAGUCGCACUUGUCUUGGAUUAUUUCAAGGCUAGAUAGAAUUGAUUCUAUUAAUGCUAUCCUGUUUCCUUCUUCAAAUGAAUCGAAUAUUUUUGGAUCAAUAAUUCUUUUCAUUUCUUCAUACAAGUGUUUGCUUGUAAUUAAUCUAGUUUUAACUAUGGAAAUUGUAUAAGCAACUUGAUAUUCUUGACUAAAGUCUAGAUGAUCAAUUGCGUCUAGAAAUUUAUUAACAGAUCUUUCCAUUUUUAUGAAAUUGAGUUACUUUUAUCACUUCCUAUCUUAUAACAUUUCAGAAUACAAACAAGGCCCAACAUGCUUCCAUUUGUUGCUAAAAUAAAAGAAUAGAGUUCAAGAUUACUAACCAGUGUACAUUUCUCGGAAUUCUAAGAUAGAUUCACUAAUUGCCUCCAACCAUAGAGAGGUCUAUGGUUAACUCCGCCAUAGCUCCACACAUCAUAUAAGAUCACUUCAACGACUGUUACAUAGGCCCAACGCAACAUAUAGCAAACGGGCCUAAAAGAAUAUGUCUAAGUGAUUUGCUUACAGCUGUCUCUGGAAGAGUGCUUAGUAGUAGAAAAUCUUCUUCCUUUAGCACAAGUAUUGGCAUGUAAGGUUCUUGGUUAUUUUCUAAGAGUAUAUAAGAUAUCUGGAAGAUGACAAUUUCGCUCAAAAGAGUUUUAUUUAUUUCAUCAUUGAAAUUAUUUACAGAGGAUGGUUACAGAGAAUACAGGUGUAGGUGUAGGUGUAGGUGUAGGUGUAGGUGUAGGUGAAGGUUAGGCAUGUGAUGUCCUUCCCUUCUUACAUGUUUCUAUUUAUAAUCUUAAAUAGAUAAGGUUAUCUCUUUUACAUGACACUUGUUUAAUUCUCUUGGUGGAUUGUGGAUUCUUUCCUGAUAAGGUGACCCUUCUUCUUUUUAUCAUUAAAGACAGUGGUUGUCUUCUUUUCCUGGUGGUAGACAGCCUUUAUCUGGUUGUAGUGUGCUUUAUCUUUUUGGAAUCUUUCUUUUUGAAUUAUUAAUGCUUUUAGGAUAGCACCUUUUAUCUUUUCCAAUGGUUCCUGUCACAUGCCAAGUAUCAAAUCUUCCUCUAGUGACAUGUCUUCCCCACUAGAAUCCUUUUUUGAUCCUUCGUAGCAGUAGCCACAUGAUGACUGAUGUUUUAGCACCUUGCAUACCUCGUGAUGUGUCAGUAAGCUGGAUUCCACGAGAUUUUCAUAUAUUGCCUUUUUCUUUUUUGAUAUGGCCUGUCUGGCUAAAAUGCUUUCUUUUCUACUUAUAGAAAAGAUUAUAUGCUCCUUUGUGGCUUCGUGGAGCCAUAUUUUUUCCUCACUUAUCCUCUCAAGAGAUUCAUAGAGGACUUUCAUUCCUACGGCUCUUUUGCUGGUGAGAGCUUUGGGUUCGAAAAAUUCAGGAUCAUAAUCAUUAUAGACUUGAUCUAUAUCAAUAGUUGGACUAACUUUUUGCUGCUAAUUCUAACUUAAAUCAUGUGCUGUGCUACCACUUGUUUUCACCGUAUUAAGGGCAAGCAGUGAGGAUCUUGAUAAAAAUUAGUUCUUUUGUUUUGGAUAUCCUUUUGUGGUCAUUAACAGCCUCUGUAUUUUUUUCUAGGAGCUCUUUUAUUUUCCUACAAUCAUCACGGACAUAAACAAGGUUAAGAAAACCGUAUUCAAACAUGUCUUUUAUCAAUUUUGGAUAAGCUCCUAGCACAAAUUUUAUCCUUGGGUAUAACCCUGAAUGAUAUGGUAUUAUAGUCUGGUUAUGAUGAAUCACAUAAGUUAUUUUACCAAUUCUUUUAUAAUUAUAAGCGUUGUCGCUUCCUAAUGGAUUUUUAACCAUAGGAACAGACUGUCCGCUUUUAUUAUAUUGGGGCCUUAAGCUCACUGAAGACCUUUGAGAUUCUUCUUUCUUCAUAUAUUAUUCUUUGAGAUCAUUGAUUGUGAGAAAUUUCUCUAGAUGUGUGACCUUUGAGUUCUGUGAAGAACUCUGGGCAAUCUGAUCCUUAGUUUGAUCCUUAAAAUGGACCUUUUUUUAGCAUAUUACUAAUAGAUUGUUAUGAAAUUUGGACUUCUGGAUGAUUUUGCAAACUUUUCUAUAGGCAAAGUUUGCUCAAUUCUUCAUGGGCAUCAUCUAUCAUGGCAAGCCUAUUAUAAAUUAUACCAUUGCCUUUGAGAAGCAAUUCUUGACCUUCAGAGCACAUUAUUAUGCCCUUAAUUAUUUUGGAAAGACCCUUCUCCAUUGUAUUCUCGGCUAAGAAAAUUUGCAAUAGAAUUGUUAGAUCCUUUAAUAUAUUCAAUUUCAAAAUCAUAUUCAGCAAAAAAACCGUUGCCAUUUAAUUAAUCUUUUAUAUUAAGGGAGAUUAGGCAAUUUAUUAAAUAUAAAUCCUUUAACUCGAGUGUUAUCAGAUCUUACCUUGAAUUUCUUUGGUAACAAAAAAAAGUAAAUUUAGCUAUUCCAUUUUUAAUAGUUAACAGUUCAUUUUCAUUACUAUGAUAAUUCUUCUAUGCGGGUUUGAAUGUUCUGGUGGCAUAUCUACAAAUCUUUUCUUGAUCUGUUUUUAAGACUACACCCCAGUAAUUAUCUGAAGCAUCGGUCUCAAGAAUUAAAUUAUCACUAGAAGUAGGGAAUCCUAAUCUUGGAAGAUUUUUACAUUUUUCUUUCGAUUUUUUUACUACUUUGGUAUGGAGAUCUUUCCAUGAUUUAGUAUUAUUCUUUUUUAAUAAUCCUUGUAAAGAUUGUCUUUCUUUAGCUAAGUUUUCUAUGAAACCUUCAGCAUAAUUAAGAUAUCCUAAAAAUAUUUGAAUUUGUUCUUUAGAUUCUAAUUUAUUUGGGAAUAGAUAUAUUUUCCAAAAAUAUGAGGUUGCAUCUCAAUUCCUGUUUCAUCUAUUAUUAACCCUAGAAAUUCUAUCUUGAGUUUCAUUAUUUCAGCUUUCUUUUUAGGGAGUAAUAUUCCAUGUUUCUUGCAUUUCUCUGCAAAAGAAACGAGAUGAUUAAUAAGAUAUAUCUUAUUAUCUGAAAAUAUAAAAAUAUCAUCUAAAUAAACAAUGUAGAAUUCAUGAAAUUCUUUGAAGAUUUGAUCCAUCCUUCUUUCAAAUAUUUUUGGUGCAUUUUUCAAUCCAAAAGGCAUUACAAUCCAUUCAUAUUAUCCUUGAGGUGUACUAAAGGCAGUAAGUGGUAUACUUUCUACUUUAAGUUUGAUAUGUCAAAAUCCAGAUUUGCAAUCAAACUUGCUAAAUGUCUUUUUAUCGGUCACGGAGAUAAUUAAUGUAUCUUUAUAAGGUAAAAAAUAUCCAUUGAAUUUGGUAUAUUUAUUUAAUUCUUUGUAGUUAAUAACCAUGCGAGCUUUUCCUCAUUUAAUUUCUACAUGAUUUCUAACCAUAAAGGCUGGACUACUAUGAGGACUUUUAGAUUUCAAAUAAUCUUAAGUUCUAAUAACUCUUCAAUUUUUUUUAUCAAAUUCUUGUCCAUGUUCUUGCCCAUCUCUCAUAGGCUUAACUCUUAUGAUACCAUUUAGAUCUGUUAAUUCGAUCUUAGCAUAUGUUUAAUCAAUUUCUCAUAAUUGAAUUGGGUUUUCACCAAAAUUUUUAUCAAGUUUUUCUAAAAUUUUUUCAUAGUCUAACAUGAUUUGAAUGAUUUUUAUAGUGUAAUCAACACACUGACUGUGUCGAAAAUGUAAUUUUUGAGUUGUGCGCCUAACAAGGUUAUAAAUUCUCGGGGUAGUAAUGGAAUGAUUACAUGGUGUUUUGAGAGUAAUGGCUUCAUUAGUCAUUAUAUAAAUGAAUUGACGAAGGAAAUUAACUCCUAAAAGUAUAUAUGUUCCCAUAUGAUCAUAAGACCAGAAUAUAGGGAUACUUAAGAUGUAAUCUUCGAUUUGGAUUAAAGUCUUAAUCCUACAAGUCCCUAAGGUGAUCUGUUCAUCAUUUGUUCCUUAUCCUUUUAAAGGCUUAUAAUCUUUCCAAUAUGGUUUUGGAUAAAUCCUAGAACUGGCAAAACUAACUCCUAAACCAGUAUCGAUUAAAGCAUAAAACCAUUCCAGUUUAUGUUUAUAAUAUGGUAUAAUCACUUUUAUAUAAAUUAUAAAAGGAUUAGACAUAUCUUGAUAUGGUUUGCUUAAUUCCUUCAAUUGUUAUACUUAUUUCUCUAUCUCCUGUACAAUAAGGAGAGAAAUUCUAAAGAAAGUUCAUCCCUAAUAAUAAAGGAUUUAUUUCUGUUUCAUAAUAUGGUUCUAUGAAAAAAGGAAAGAUGAAUUUUGUUCCUUUUAUUUUUAAUGGUAUUUUACAAUAUUUUCUUAAUGUCUUUCUUUCUCUAUUAAAUCCUACAUAAGUAUGAGGUUCAAUUAGAAUUUUUCUUUCUAAAUAUUUAAUCAUUUUAGCAUCUACAUAAGAUUUUGUAGCUCAUGUAUCAAGGAUAGCAAAAGUCUCGUGCCAUGAUUUUCCAUUAUUAUAGUCAAUCUUAAUUUUUAGAUUUUGAUUAUUUUUUCUAAUUGUGGCUAAUAUUUCAUGUGAUGGUGGUGUCACAAGAUGACUACAUCUAGUAAAACUUUGGGUUCCUCUGAAUUUUGGUUCUCUUUUGGGUAUAGAGAAUGAUCUUUUAUGUCUUAUAAUGAUUCUUCCUUCUGGAGUAUAUUCUAUAGAUUUAGUAGUAUUUCCUUUAAUCAGAGUAGGUUGACUACUUAGAUUCAUUUUCCAUUCUUAUGAUAAAUAUAUUUCUCUCUGGAUUUCAGGAUAUUUUAUAUUUCUAACUUUACUAAAUAAUUUAUCUAUUUCAAUAAAAUAUUUAUUAGCAAACAUUUCACUAUUUGCUGAAUUUGUUAAUGCAUAUUUUAUGGCAUACAUUAUGCUAUAUGGAUAAGACCCCUCAUGCAUUAUAUCAAAGUAUUUAAAAUCAUGACAUAAGGUUAAUGUUUUAUUUAUAUUUCUAUCCCUAAGACUUAUAGAAUAUUUAGGAUAUAUCUUAAAUAUCAAUUUUUUAUAACUCAAGUUUCCUUGUAUUAUUCUAGGGACUGCAUGUUUUCGAUCUUGUAUUCUAUUAUCUAGUACUGCUAAAAUUAUUGGACUAUCUAUUCCUUCCCGAAAAUGAGCUUUUAUCAUAAACUGAAUUCCUCCAAUAUGAUCAUAUCCAAUUUUGGGUCUAUUGCUAGAUUUUAUCUUACUGAUUUUAUCUUCUAUAUCAGUCUUUAAUAAUAAUGGUAUAUUUGUAUUUCCCUUAGCAUACCUAAUUUCAAUAUGUUCUUCUCACACAGUAGCACUGAAAUACAUAACAUUUUUUCUUUUAAUCAUGGUGGCAAUUCCUAGAGCUAACUUAUUGACUGAAGUCAAGGAUGAUUCUAAUCAUUUUUUUGUUAAUCUUGAGGUAUUGUUUUUUUUUUUUAUCAAAGAUUAAUUCUUUGUUAAAAGAACCUUGUUCUUCUAAUUCUUCAUCUUGAUAUAAAUGCUUAUUAUCUAAUUCUUCUAUACUCAUUCCAAAUAUGAUUUUGAAUCUGAGCUACUUAAAGUUUCUUCAGAAAGAUAAUAUAUGCUAUCACUUUCACUAAUACCUUCACUAUCUGUGAUUAAUUCUAAAUCAUUAAAAUCCUCAAACAUUUUUAUAUUUUCUUUUUUCUUUUUAGGACAUUCAUUUGUAUAAUGCCCUUCUUCAUUACAUAACCACCACUUGCAUUCUUUAACUACAUUGGUUUUAAAUCUUCUUUUAAAUUUAUUUUUCUUGUAGAAUUUCUUCUUAUAUUUAUUUUUCUUGUAAUAUUUCUUGUUGCCUUUAAAGAAUCUCUUCUUUUUGAAUUUAUUCCUAUAUUUAUAAGUUUUAUCUGAACAUCCAAAUCUUGGUGGAUCUUCUAACUUAGAGCAAAACAAUCCUUGAUUUAGCCUUUUCAUAAGUCUGUUAUCUCUUAUUUCAGCACACCAUUCACUCAUUCUAUUUCGAGCAAACCUAAUCUUAUUUCCUAAGGUAUCAGUCUCUGUUGUAUCUUCAUAUUUGUUGUUAUAUUCUAGCAUAAUCCUUUUCUCCCAUGGGUCUGGUAUCCUUAUAAAAUAUAGAUCUUAGUAAUAGCAUAUGCUACUUUCAUCUAAUUCACAUUUAUAAUAUAAUUCUUCAAAGCUACACGUGUAUUCUUCUAAAUAACAUAUAUUACAUAUUUCAAGCCUUGUUAGUUUUAUUACAUUUUCCAUCUUUUUUUCACUUUAUUUCUUAUUGAAAACCAGUUUCUCAAUCUUCUCCUAGGAAUUUUUUUCUUAUUUCAUUUUCAAAUCUAUUUAAAACUUGAUCCAAGCUUUCAUUUUGAUUAUUAUUUUCUCCAUACAAUAUUUUAUUUUUGUUAUUAUCGUUUAGUCCCAUAAACGAAUGUGACACUAUUCCUACAAAUGAAGUUUUAAGGAAUUCUAUACUAUUAUUCCUAUCUAUUUUGUUAAAUACAAAUGCCGUUUUCAUAGAUUUAACCCAAGCGAUAAUCGUUUUAUCUCUAUCUUUGACAUAGUCUAAAUCUAACCAUACUCCAUCAUGGUUGAUUGGUCUCUCUCUAUAUUUUCCUGGAGUUUUAUAAUUUUUUUAGGCUUGUUAACCCUAAAAUAUUGAUGUUGUGAUCUUUCAUGAGCUAGUAUUUCUUCUCUAGUAUAGGAAGCUCUAUUACUAGAUUCUCCUUGUUAAAAAACCGUUGGUUUUGAUUCAUUCAUUUUUAAUUGUUCUAUUCUAUUUUCAAUAUCUCAUAAGUUAAUGAGUACAUCCUCUUCCUCUUCGGAUUUAGAUUCUUCAUUGGAUAUUUCUGGAUUGUAUAAUUCUUUUAAUCCAUUGUCUACAUUUUCACUUAGCAUCCUUAAACUUAUUAAUUUUUUAUCUUAGUUUUUUGUUAAAUAUUGUCUAGAUAUUGCUAUCAUUUCUUUAUCUUUCUUUUCGUUGUAGUAAAUUAUGGUGUCUUGUAAGGUUUUAUUUUUUUUUCUUGAAUUACCAUGAGUAAUUCUUCCAUAUUGUUAUUUAUCUUUUGUAUUUCAAUCCUUUUGUAGUUUUCUAUGAAAAAUUAUUUCUAUACACCUCUCUCCUAAUUCUAAAUAGGAGAAUAGGAUCGAUGUUUAAAUUUCUAUUCUUUAUUAUUUUGAGUUCUCCAAUUCUAAAUUCAUGAGCUCUAGAUAAAUAAAAUUGUUCUAAUUGUUUAUCAUCUAAUAUCUCAAGUUUUGAAUAAUAAUAUUGUUUAUGUUUAGUUAUGUUAUCCUUUAUAGUAUUACUAUCUACCAUUAGAUUAUAUCCCCUAUUAUUAAUAAAAUAAACAAUUGUUUCUUCCAUUUUUAUAUUUUGAACCAAAAAUCUGGUUCUGAUACCGUUUUUGCAGACAAUUUUCAAUCCUAAGAUCCAAGUAAGGAUGUAAAUGAUUAAUCUUUAAAAUCUUAUGAAUAUUUUACAAUUUUGCUUUUUUAAAACACACAGUUUUAUGCUAGGUGUUGUGCAAUCUUUUGUAAAAAUUCAUGAACCAAUACUAUAUUGACUUCUCCUAAAAUGCAUAGGUUUGUUAUGAAAUUCUAAGUGUACAACCCAAAAAGUGGGGUGAAUUGGGUUUUUAAAAAUUUAAGCAAUUAUAACCACACAAAAAUUUCAAUUAAUGUCUUAUUUGAUUCAAUAACAAUAAUUUUAACAAUGAAUAAAGUAAAGAGAUGAGGGAGAAGAGAGCAAACAUGAGAUUUUUACAUGGUUCAGCAAAACCUGCCUACGUUGACGCCUCCAAGCUCACUAUGCUUGAAGAUUUCACUAUCCAAGCAUUACAACCCUAAGGCUUCAAGAUGCUUACAAUUGAUUUCUAAGGUUUCCAUGGACCUUUACAUCCAGAGGUUCUCUCAAACCUCUUAACCAAGUGUUUCUCACACUUACAACCACUUAAUUGUGAUAUUGAAAAAAAGUUACACAAAUUUUCCACUCACACAAUAUAUGUGUUUACAACUAAAAGCCUAGAGUGUGUUUCAAUGAAAGAAUAAAAACAUUUAAGCUCAAGACAGAUUAAACAUGCAAAAGUAAGCUCAAUGCCAAUUUUUGAAUUCGUUAUUGAUUGAAUAUGAUUAAUCCUUUUGAUAGUUGGAGCUGAAAACUAGCCGUUAUUGACUUUCUGCACAAGGUCGGAUCAUCGUUAAUACUUAUCGGACUGCUGUUUUGACUUGAUCAAGUUACCGUUAGGCGAAAAUCUAAAUUUUCGGAUCACCAUUUUCGAGACAUUGAAUUGUUGUUAGUUUCUAGUAACAUUGCGAGAAAAUAGUUGGCUUACCGUUUUCAAAAUGUCAUAUCGUCGUUAGUUUCCAAAUCCAUUCGAUGUCGGUUAGCCAUUUGCUACAUUAACUGCUACAUUGAAACUAUUUUUUAAAAUUAUAUUUUUGCCAUGCUUUCUAUAAUUAUACUGUAGCCCAAAUCUUCAUAAUACUUUACAAAUAGGUCCAUUUUCAGAGUUUCAAAACAUACUUUUUAUUUCCAAAACUUUAUGAAAUUAUACUAUAACCCAAAAAUAUAUAAAAUAUUUCAAAUAGGUUCAUUUCUAGAAUUUUAAAACAAUACUUGUUGAUUUCAAAGUUCUCAAAACUUUUUAAAUUUAGAGCAUUAACUUCAAAAUAACCAAUUUCAUAAAAUCAUUUUUUUCAUUAAGAUUUAUGAAAAAUGACUUGAGCUUUUAAAUGCUUAAGCAUGCAUAUAUUUAAUCAUACUAGCUUUACAAGAAAUGUAACAAGAGAAAUCACCUAAGCUAGUACCUCUAAUGCUUGUUCUUGACUUAGUGAGCUUUUUACCUUCGUCUAUUUGAGUGCCUUGAACUUGAUCACACACACACACACACACACACACACACACACACACACACACAUAUAUAUAUAUAUAUAUAUAUAUAUAUAUAUAUAUAUAUAUAUCAUUUUAUCCUUUUAUCCUUAACACGUGGUUUGUUAUUAUCAAAACCCAAGUUCGUACAACCGCUUAGGCCAACAUGUUACUCCCAAUCAAUUGACUUCUGACAUGACUACUUCCAAAAUGGCUAGUACCAAAAGGGAAUCCUUCUGGGAUGAGAAUUGAAAAACAUGCCUCUUCUAGCACUAAAAUUACUCCUUCCACCUAUAUUUCCACUAUAAUGUCCUUAAAAUCCUCCGGCAUAUCCACCUCUUUUAGUAUUGCCUCCUAUUUGUGCAUGAUAGUAAUUAAUUAUGCCAUAGUUAUUAUGGUUAGCAAAGUUAGCACAAUUUGCAUUGAAUAUGUGUUUUUCAUUAUGACUUUGUUCAAGUCUUGCCUCUUGAGUAAGCAAUAGAGCAUACGCACCAUCAUAAUAUAACUUGCUAGCAGUAAUAAAAGUAGAUAAAUGCAGAUGGCUAGCUCCAAAACUAUUGAGAAUUUGUUAAACAUAUCUUUAUCAGAAAUAGGACUACCAACACAUGUCAAUUUAUCUGCUAUUUAUUUAAUCUUUAAGCAAUACUCUUCUAUGCUUAGUGACUUUUUUUCUCAAAGCAUUCAUCUCAUAUCUCAUUUGAAGAAUCCUACCCUCAUAAUGUUGCCUAAACUUUUUCUGUAAUGUUUUUCAUACAUCAAGUAAGGUGUUAUAAGAAUGAACAAGACCGAGAAUACCUUCAGUGAUAGAGCUGAGUAACUAGCUAAGUAAUGUGUGAUCUUGAGAUCUCCAAACAAUGAACUCAGGAUUUUCAAUCUGUUAAGUAGAUGCAGCAACUGCUCUAGCAUAGCUGAUGAAUCAAUGAAUUGAUUUGGUGCUUCAUUUUCUCUAGUUAUGUAUCCUUCGGUUUCCUCUUAUAAAAGCUAGAACUUGAUUUUGCCACAGCAUGUAAUUUGAUCAAUCGAAUGUGAUUGGAGUGAUGAAACAGAAUGUUGUUUGCAUUGAUUGAUUUGUAGAGAUUGCAAUUGAAUUUGUGCUUACAUUGCUUGAGCUUGCCAUUUUGGCUCAGAUACCAUGAAUAAAUUAUUGGAAGUUGAGUUAUAGUUGCUGUUUAACAGCUGAGAAAAUAGAGGAAAAUUCUCUGGAAAUUCUAAAUGUUUCCUAUUGAGCAAACGAAAGAUUAACAUACUAUAUAUAUACAAGUUUCUAAAUUGUUUCUAGCUAAUUUACAGUACAGCUAAUCAAUAGAUUUGAUCCAAAGUAAAACUAAUUAGUUUCACACAUAAGGAGCACGUGAAUCCAUCAUCGUUGCAUAAUCGAACAUGUUGACUUAGCUGCUGACUUGGCAUUGACAGCUGAUUUGCUUCUUUUUUGUAACUCUGGAUAGUGUGCUUUCUUCACAAGUUUCCCCAAAUCUCCAUUAUGUACAGCUUCUGCAAAAAUUUCCUAACCAAACCAUUUAUUUGUAAUUUCCUCUUGUGUUGGCCCUAUGCCAUCAUCAAGUGGUACCGUGAGAGGAUUUCCAUCUAGAUUACCCUGAUCUUUGUCUGAAUCAUAACUAGUAUGCAUAGUGUUUUCAUCCUCAUCACCCUGCGCAGCCAAAACAAAAUGCUUAACAUUACAUAUACAGUAAAACCUCUCUAUAGUCAUAUUGUUGGGAUUAAACUAAUUUUAUUAAUAUGAAGAUGUUAUAAACUUAAUGGAAAUUCAGUGACAAAUCUAUUGAUUAGCUGUGCUACUUUGAUAAUUAAUUAAUGAAGCAUGUCAAAUCUAAUGCAUUGACAUUGAUAAAAGAGGUAAACAUAUAAUUUAAAAAACUAGUACUUAUAUCUAUCAUCUGUGUAGUAUUGGGAACAUGCAAAGUCUUCUUAUUGAAAAUCUAAAGAAUAAAUUAUUAUCCAAAAUAAUUUCAGAAAAAUAUUAUAUUUCAUCUUAAAUCUUUCAUGUAACAUAGCAAAUUUUUUUUUUUUUUGCUCAAUAUACAUAUUAGUAAUACUGUGUGGAUGCGUGUUCCUUAAGAUAUGCUCUAUAAAAGUUGUUAACUUAUUACAAUGUGAAGUUUGUUCUUAUUUAUAAUUGGCUUAAAGCAGGAAUAAGAUUUUUUGUGACUAUUGGACGUUGUUCUUAUAAAAUGUAUCACUACAGAGAGAUUUUAUUAUAAUUCUAAACCGAGAAAAGAAAGUGUAAUCCUAAUAAAUCACCAUCGAUUAGAGCUAUAAUGAAUUAAGCUUUACAAAGAAGAAGAAGAAAGAUUACAAUGUGAAGGCAACAAGAAUCAUGACAAAGUGAGAAAAAGAGAGGCCACAUAAGCCCCAAGGGAAAUUGAGAUUUUAUAACACAGCCUAAUUGCAGAAAGCAUAGGCGAAAAACAGGUGCUUGAUUGCAAACAUGCACACGCGCGCGCGCACACACAAUUUGACCACAAAGACCGCAUACCUUUGAGAGUUGGUCCUCUGGGGCAUAGGCAUUUUUCGCACGUUUUCGUGCUUCCUCCUUUUAUGGCCACGUAGUUUUCGUAAGCUUGAUCAAGAAACUCCUCCAAUUGUUCAUCAUACCUAACACCAAAAAAAUGUCAUAAGAUCACAAAGGCAUAAGUUGAUAGAUAUAUUUGUCAAGAUAAUGCGACAGAAGAUAUAGGUAGAAAAGAAUUACUUUCUGCAUUCUUUAUCAGAGUCACUGUCACUGGACAAUUGCUCUUGAGUGUCUCUAUCGGGUCUCUCAUCUUCACAGCCCUCUGCAGUAGCAUUCUCAUCAUCAUCAUCAUAUUCAACAGCAGCAAGAUCUUUUUUACCCUAAACCGAUCAUUCAAGUUUAUAAAAGAAUGAGAUACUUGCCUUAGACCACACUUUUGAAUUGGAAAAAACUAAUAAAUCAAAAUUGCAACUAAUAUUGUCCUACCCAGCCAUUUUUCAUUUAUCCUGAUGUCAAGUACACUACAAUCGAUGAGUACCUCAGUCAGUUUGCGUAACCCUUCUCUGUUGAGUUGUAGCUUGCAGGAUAUUGGGAAAUAAAUAAUUGGCUUGUUGCCAUCUUUGGUUUGUAUCUGUAAACAUUAUGGUUGUUGGCCUUACCUUCUUUUGGUUUUCUAUGGAAUUUGUAGCACCAUAUUUUGUCCACUAUGUCAGUACACCAGUGAUUAAACAAAGUAGUCUCAUGUGCUUGAUCUAAAAAUAAUUAUAAAGUCACCAUGUGGUUGAUCUAAAGAUAAUUAUAAAGUCACAAACACAGAAAAAUUAAAAGUAAUUCAUAAACAUUUGUCAUGUGAAAUUUACUUAAUGGAAGAGAAAUUCUAGGAAACAACUUUAUGGUGAGAAAACUCUAAAAAUCAAACCGAAAGAUAUAUAAUAAAUAAUUUUAUAAGAAUUAGGCUAUGUUUCAAAUAAUAUCACAUAUAGUAAAUUUAUGAGUUGUCGCUCAUCAUAACUCAAUUGUUUCACAUAUUGUAAUUCUUUAAUUUUGAAUAACAACAUAUGUUUCAUAAGAUUUAAAAUGGUAUGACUCAUUUUAUAAUAUUUUUAACUGAAUUGAAAUUCUGCAACUAUAAAAAUUGAAAAGAAUGAACUUGGCGGUAUUACGCUUAUAGUAUUGUUUCUUAUGGUGAACCAAAAGCAAGCCAAAAUUACGCUUACAUCAUCUUACUCUACCGUAAAACUUAUUUAUAAUCAUAACGGUAACACUAAAUUAAUUUUAUUACUGUGAGAGUUUAAUAUUUAAUAGAGGUGUAGUUACAAAAAUUAUUAUUUUAACUUAAUUAUUUUUUGUGCAAGUGAUAUAGCGAUAAAAUAUGCACUAUAUUAAUAACUAAUUAAUACAGCAUGUCAAAUUCAAUGUACUAACAAUGAUGAAAAAGAUAGGCAUAGUUUGAAAAAAACUAGUACAUAUAUCUUUAUAGUGCUGGAAUUAUGUAAAAUCAUCUUGAAAGUCUAAAGAAUAAAUGAUUGUACAAAAUAAUUUUAGAAAAAUAUUUUACUUCAUCUUAAACCUUUAACAUAAUAAGGGAUAUAUUUUUUACAAUAUACCGAUAAUUAUUACUAUUAGAGGUAACUUUCUUAAAACCGGAUUUAAAAAAAUUAUAAUUUAUCAUAAUAUAGAGUUUAUUCUUAUUUAUAAUUAUUAGGCUUGAUAAUCGACUGGGUCGUGUUUGGGCCAUGCCAAGCUCUAGCCCAACUAGGGGUGGCAAAACGAAUAAACGAAUCGAAUUUGAAUCGAAUCGUAAACGAAUUGGGUCAAAAUUAUAUGGAUUCGGAUUCGAUUCGUUUAUUAAACGAAUUGAAAUUUCAGGAUUCAGAUUCGAUUCGGUUAUUAAACAAAUAUUCGGUUCAAUUCGUUUAAUUCGUUUAAUAGAAUUGAUAAACGAAUCGAAUCGAAUCCGGAUUCGUUUAUUAUUCGCUUAUCCUUUACGAAUCCAUAACGAAUCGAAUCGAAUCAGGAUUCGUUUACAAUUCAUUUAGAAAAAUAUAAUUAAUAAACAAAAUUAAGCAAAAAAAACACAAAUUUAAUAUCCCACAACAAAAUACAAAUAAUUCAAAUCAUAUUAUACAGUCAUCCAAAUACUAAAUUACAAAUCCUUAAUAUUACAAAUAACAAUAAUUCAAAUUCAAAUUAUAAAGAAAUGUAAUUUCUUUAAUUCUCUUCAUUUGUCUUUGUCGCCUUGAAAACAAAAAUCCUACACCAAAAAGUAAAUAAAAUGUUAUUAACAUGCUGCAAUAUUGAUAAUAGUCAUUGUAAAAUUUCAAAAAUCAAAUAUAUAGCAAAUUUGUAGCAUUUUCAAGAAAAUAAUAAUUAAACAAGAUAAAAACUUUACCUACCACACUCACACACUGUCAUUUGGAUCAUUGGCACUCUCUGCAGAUGGAGCACAAUUAGUGCUCAUGUUCAUAAUGUUUUGAGUAAGUUGGUCCACAGUGACAUCCAAAUUUUCUACAAUAAUUUUAUAAAAAUAAAUCUUAAUUAGAAACAAUUGCACAUAAUAUUAUAAAAGAAAAGUAAAUAAAUUUUAUGAGCAAGUUUUACCAAUCUCUCCAAACUUCCAAUCUCUAGUAGUAAUAAUUGCUUGAACUAUCUCUAGUAGUAAUAAUUACUUGAACUGUCUCUGGCUUCAAUACACUUCAAAAUUGAUCAAGAACUCAACCGCCAAACAACAACAAAACAACAGUAAAACAGCAACAAAAUAGCAGCAAAAUAGUAGUAAAACAACAACAAAAUAUCAGUAAAAUAGCAGUAAAACAACAACAAAAUAGUGGAAAAAUAACAAAAAAAAUGGUAGCGAAACAGCAGCCAAACAACAGCAGUAAAACAGCAGCGAAACAGCAGUAAAACGACAGUAAAAUAGCAGUAAAUCAGCAACAAAACAACAGCAAAACAGUAAUAAAACAGCAACAAAACAGCAACAAAACAACAGCAAAACGGUAAUAAAACAGCAAUAAAAGGCAAAUUUUCAGUGGUGUACCGUGAUGGUGGGUAGUUAGCGCGGCGGGAAGUGGUGCUGGGGAUGAAAACCUUCAAAUUUUAAAAAGCUUUCAAAUAAAUUUAAGGAUAAAAAAGUAAUUUAAUUAAACGAAUAAUAAACUAAUCGACCCGUAUUCGAUUGGUUUAUGACCGAUUUAUUAAACGAAUAAACGAAUCAAAAUUUUCAAACCUGCAUUCGAUUCGUUUAAUUAACGAAUCGAAUCGAAUUCACCCAUUUAUUAAACGAAUCAAUUUUUUCAAACUCAAACCCAUUUAAUUUGCAUCGAAUCGAAUCAAAUAAACGAAUCCUGACCCAUAUUGCCACCCCUGCCCAACCCUAUGAUUAAAAUGAAGGACUCUAAUACUAAAAAGCUUGACCCUUCAAACUAAAGAACAACCUGGCUUUAAUAAUUUUUUUAUAUUUUAUUUUUUUUUUUAAGAAUAUGACUCCUAUUCUUCAUUCUUUAGUAAUAUUAUUAUUAUUAUUAUUGUUCCUUUUUUUUGUUGGAUUUGUUUGUAAGGAAUUUAAUAAAUUAUUUUUUAUUUAACUUAACAACAAUAGAACGUUUAACAAUCUAACAAAAUUAAUAUAUUAACCAAGCAAUAGGUAAAUAAAUCAAAUACAAAAUAACAAAAUUAAUAUGAAAUAGAGAUAAAUAUCCCUAAAGUGUAGUUGUGACCAUCUAUGUGUAUGUGUGUUUAAUAAUAUUUUUAUUUUAAAAAUUAAUUUAAAGAUCAAGAGUUGAGUUAAAACAUUUUGGUAAAACUUUAACCCUAACCCAAAUGUAAUUAGGUCCUGAUUCCUUAAGCCCUAACCCAACGUUUAACCUUUCAAAUUCGAGUCAAAACCAUUAAAAUUAAGAUCGAAUCAAUCAAGUCGAGGGUCGGAUAAAACCUUUUUGUCAUCCUAAAAAUUACCCUAAAUUAAAAUCAAAAUUUUUUAAAAUUAUAUAAAAAUUAUUCUUAUACACAGUAACAAUAUACGACCCAACAAGAAAUGAACCUGGACGCAUUAGGGCUUUGAUCCACAAACAAACUUUCAAAACCCUCUUAGACCUCAAGAGCAUUUUAGUCCAUUUAAUCAAAAGUAAAAGUGCGGCUACCAGCUAACUCUCCGGAAUUGAACUGAACGAGUUUCAGAAAUGGCAUCGAAAAGCAAGAUUCUAUCCAUCGGCGGGACAGGGUAUAUCGGUAAAUUCAUCGUGGAAGCUAGCGUGAAAGCCGGCCACCCGACGUUCGUGCUCGUGAGGGAAUCCACAGUCUCUGGUCCUUCCAAAUCUCAGCUCCUCGACCACUUCAAAAACCUCGGCGUCAAUUUCCUUGUCGUGAGUUAUCAAUUUUUUUUUUCAUUUUUUUAAUUCCAAAUUUUGACACGUGGCGGUGUAGCCUCUACUUGAUAGACUUGGUUUUUUUUUUUAAUUUAAUUUUUGUGGGUGCUGUUAUUAUUAUGCAGGGAGAUGUUUUGAAUCACGAGAGUUUGGUGAAGGCGAUAAAACAAGUGGACGUGGUGAUAUCAACAGUUGGUCACACUUUAAUAGCCGAUCAGGUCAAGAUUAUUGCUGCCAUUAAAGAAGCCGGUAACGUUAAGGUAUGACAUAAUUAAUGUAAAUGUCUUAGAUUCCGAUCAGGAUUGUGCACUCGUGCACACGUGGUGAUUUAUUCUUCGUGUGGAGCUCGCUGUAGAGUAGAGCUCCCAGUUCCGCUAAUAAACACCCGUCACAUGCGCAAUUGCGCCUCAAAAUAAUUUAAUUAAUUAAUUAGGUAUAAACACCGAUGGCAUGAAAGCAAUUAAAAUUAGUUGAUGUUUAUAAAUUAUUUAUUACUCAGAGAUUCUUCCCAUCGGAAUUUGGAAAUGAUGUUGAUCGAGUCCAUGGCGCCGUGGAGCCAACAAAAUCGACGUAUGACGUAAAGGCGAACAUCCGCCGAGCCGUUGAGGCAGAAGGCAUUCCGUACACGUACGUAGAAUCUUAUUUUUUUGAUGGCUACUUCCUCCCUAAUUUGUUGCAGCCUGGGGCCACUGCCCCCCCUAGGGAUAAGGUUGUCAUCUUCGGCGAUGGAAAUCCAAAAGGUAACAUAAUUUAAUUAAGCUCUGUUUGUUUGGUAUGUAUUUCGGUGUUAAUGUUAUUGUCUGUUGUACAAUGGAUGGUCUUGCUUGGUACUGUUGUUGGAGAGCUGCAGUGUUUUGAUAAACACCUCUAUCCUUAGCUUUCAAGUUAAGUUGAUUUUAUACAACACUUGUUUAAUUAAAAACUUGUAAUAUUCUUACUACUUUGAUAAAAAAAAUAUUACGAUUAAAGUAUUAAUGGCACCAUAAUACGAAGUGAAUCUUAAGUGGUCAUUAUAGAUUUUAAGAUAGAGUUUUAAGUGAUUACCAGAUACUUUAGCUGCUGAACCGCCACAUCAUGGUUGCCACACAACAAUUUCAAACAGAGCCUAAAUAACUUCAUUGCAAAACAGUUAAAUGAAUCUAACUUAGUUUCGUCGUUUGAUUUUCAGCUGUUUUUAACAAGGAAGAUGAUAUUGGAACCUACACUAUCAAAGCGGUUGAUGAUCCGAGAACCUUGAACAAAAACUUUUACAUUCAGCCUCCCGGUAAUAUUUACUCAUUCAAUGAUCUUGUGUCUCUGUGGGAGAGAAAGAUUGGUAAAACCCUCGAAAAGGAGUAUGUUUCAGAGGAGCAGCUCCUAAAGAAUAUUCAAGGUUGGUUAAAACUCUCUUUUUUAAAUGUAUUAAAGAGAGCCGUAUAUUCUCUGCCGUAAAUGUUAUUGAUCCUGUCUUCUCCAAAAUGUUGCAGAAGCUGCAUCUCCACACAAUUUUAUAUUAUCAAUUUAUCACUCUGCUUUCGUGAAGGGAGUUCAAACUAACUUCAAGAUUGAACCAUCUUUUGGAGUUGAAGCCUCGCAGCUUUAUCCUGAUGUCAAGUACACUACAGUUGAUGAGUACCUCAAUCAGUUUGUGUAACCCUUCUCUGUUUCCAGCUGCAGCUUGCAGGAUCUUGGACUGUUGGUAAAUAAAUAAUUGGCUUGUUGCCAUCUUUGGUUUUAUAUGUAAAAAUUAUGGUUGUUGGCCUUACUUUCUUCUGGUUGUCCAUGGAAUUUGUUAGACCAUAUUAUGUUUGCUAUGUCAGUGAUCAAAUGAAGUAGGCCAUGUACUUGAUUUGAGAGUAGUAGUUAUAAAGCCAUCAUGAUCAGGUGGGUGCGUAGGUUGGGCUUCUAUUAGGGUGCGUGUGUUGGGCUUCAGGGGCUUGUGAUAUGGGUUCGACAGCCCCUAACGGGCAGUCAUUAUAAAAAUAAUUAUAGAGUUACAAAUCUAUGUAAAAAGCAAAAAUUAAAAGUAAUUUAUCAAUAAAAAUAAUUAAAAUUAAUAAAAAGUAGGUAUGAUAAUUCAGAAAUUAAAUUAAAGAUAGAAUUCUAAAGAGUUGGAUAAUCCUCCAACUAAACUAAAGAUCUAGUACUUUUGAGAGCAAAUUUAAUUAAAGAAAAGGAUAAGGAAAAACAAUAGAAUAAUAAUAUUAAAAAAUUGCAAAUCUUGGUCUUUUUUUUUUACGAUGAUGUUGAAUUCUUAUAAAUUUAAUCUUAUCUAUAGAAUUAUUUAGUUACUGUAUGUCAAAAUUUCCUAUAAAGAUGAAGAAAAAUUAUAUUAGGAGAAGAUCCAAAUCCGUUUAACUGAUGCAUCAUCGACAACAUGAGUACAACAUUUUCGAAUAAACAAAAGAAACUCGUUUUAUGUGUGAACCAGUUCCAAAAUAAAGAGCAGACUAUUGGAAGGAGACAAAUACUACAAGAAGAACAAAACAUUCUACAAUUCCUACAUGAGCCCGCAACAAUUAAUUAUUAACUCGACAUUCAUUACACUUUUUCUUUAAUUUGACAAAGAAACCAAAAAUAAGAUAAAAUUGACUAAGAAAUAAAAAAAUGACAAAAAUCUUUUUGAAGUUUUGCCAGUUCAGCCAUGCACGCUUAUCUUUAUUCACUUGUUUCCUUUCUUUCCUUUCUUUCCUUUCUUUCCUUUCUUUGCUGAAGCCUUCACAGAUCCUUUACCUUUCUGAGCCUUGCCAAUUUUCCCCUUCUUCAAACCACCUGGCCUUGCUGGAUCCACGUGUCCUUGCAUCCUUUUUCAUUCGUGGAUCAACAAGAAUCUCCCCCUUUCCAGCUCUCUCUUGAACUCCUUGCUUUGCGACCAUGUAUUCUUUGGUAGGCCUUUUGGGUAUAGUUGUCUUGUAUAAUUGUUCAAUUUGAUUCCUCUUCGAACGAUCAGAGAUGUCCGCUUAGUCUGAUAUGACAUUUGCCUUCUUGCGAACCUUCUCAAGAUUUCGCAUGGCAACCCGUAUCUUUCGAGCUUUGGUCUUAGCCACCUUCUUGGCAGUAUGGGUGGGCGAUUCGAUUUUGGGAUAAACUUUUGGUUUCGUAUCGGUUUAGAUUAAAAAAUAAUAUAAAAAAAUAUUUAGAUUUUAAGGGAAAAAAUCCGAACCGAGACUCACCUAUCGAUUUUGGCUCGGUUUCAGUUCAGUUUUGAUUCUCCUAAUAGUUUUAUUUUGCCUUAUUGACUUCCGGUCAAUGACACUUUUGAAAAAUUUACAAAAAAAAAAAAAAUGGCCAUAACAAAAUUUCUAAAUGCAAAUAUUUCCUAAACAUUAGGCUAUACUAAAUUUUUUUAAAAGGUAGGGAUCCAAACGAUAUUAUCCCUCUACUUCAUCUUCAACCUUCGUCACUAGGGAUGGCAAAAUUCAGGUUCGGGUUCGGGUCCGGGUUUAGCCAUUCGGGAUCCGGACCCGGAUGAAUAUUUUCUGUAUCGGACCCGAAAAUAAACCCGCAUUUUUCCACUCCGAGUCUGGUACGGGUUCAACCCGAAAAAAUUCGGGUUCCCAGACUGCGGGUUUCCAACCCGAAUUGAUGAAUCCAAUUGAAAAAAAAAAACUAAAUUCAACUAAAAAAAUCAAAUAGAAAUACAUAUCCAGGAUUUUAGCAAAUCAAAGAAAAAUUAUUUCAUCUGGAAACUAAUUAACAAAAACAACAAUUUUGUUUGGCUGCCCAGAAUCAGCAACCCAAUGUGGCGGCUCGUUCAAAACAUUAGUGUUUUCAACAGAUUUUGGGGUAGGAAAAGCCAAACCUAUCUAGAACAAUGAAUUUGUAUUUUUGGGGGAGAUGAGAUACCUCACUGGUUUGUUGUGUGCGGUGCAGUGUAUCUGAAAUUUGGGGGAUGUGAGAAGGGGAGAGGGAGUGGUAACAAUGGUGAAAGGUCAAAACCAAUAGAGAUGUCCUUCAAAAUGAGCUUCACACCUGUAAAACAGUGAAAUAAAGGUUAGAGGUGAAGCCGGGAUACCCCGGUGUUCACACUCCGAUGCUCAAGUUAGCAAACUCAAGCUUUUAUGACAAAGAGAACUGGCUAGCCCUCUGUAAAUUAGGGUUUAAGGUUCAAGGAAACCUAUUUUUUGGAAUGUGAGUGUUAAUGGUGAGUGAGAGACCUCUUCGAGAAUGAAACAUAGGCGCCUUUAUAUAUGGAGUACCUCAGCUGCCACAUGACGUACCCUUUUUUGGCUAACGUCAUUUUUCCUUUUUAUGAUUUUUGGGUCGUUAUGUGCAUGUUCGCGGGGUAUCUCAUCUUUUGGAAACGUGGCGCGCGCUGGAGAGUGGUCCAGGGUACCUCUGCAGUAGCUGUCGGGUAGGCAGCUGAAGACCACUGUCCUUGGGACAAUGUCCUUCACUUUUGGUAAAGGUGACAGGCGGUUGUCCCCCUUUUUAACACGACAUUUUUUAUUCCUAAUUAUGACAAAAUCGAAUAAUAUCUUUUAAGAGAUGGAGACGUUUCUCAUGGUGGAUAUUUUCAGAGGAUUCUCUUGCAUCUGAUCAGCCGGGUUCCUCCAGUUAUGCAGGGUACCUCUAAUUUUACGGGGUACCUCUAUUUGCGCAGGGUACCUUGAAUCAUGCUAGGUACCUUAGAUUAUGCGGGGUACCUCAUAUUGUGUGGGGUACCUCUAAUUGUGCGGGAUACCUCUAUUUGCGCUAGGUACCUUGAAUCAUGCUGGGUACCUCAGAUUGUGCGGGGUACCUCUAUUUGUGCAGGGUACCUUGAAUCAUGCUGGGCACCUCAGAUUGUGCGGGGUACCUUUAGUCAUGCGAGGUACUUUUAAUCAGGCCAGGUACCCUCUAAUUGUGCUGAGUACCUCUAAUCAUGCAGGGUACCUCUAAUCAUGCGGGGUACCUCUAAUCAGGCCGGGUACCUCAGAUUGUGCGGGGUACCUCUAUUUGCGCAGGGUACCUUGAAUCAUGCCGGGUAUCUCAGAUUGUGCGGGGUACCUCAAAUUGUGUGGGGUACCUCUAAUCGUGCGGGGUACCUCUAAUCAUGUCGGGUACCUCGGAUUGCACUGAAAUUAUUCCAUUCGUUGACACGUGGCGUUAUGCUAUCUUUCUUAUUUUUCCCCCAAACAACAUCCCUCUAGUUUCUUUUGGCAAGAAGUUUUGGAGGCAAAAGAAACUUACAUAAAAAGUAGGAGCGACACGUGGCGAUAUGAUGUUUAGCUCGAUGGAUAACUAAAUAGAGGGCGCCUCUAGGGGUACCCUGAGAACCCAAAAAGGGAAGAUGGGCUCCAUUUCCUCGGAAAUGGCUACCACUUUGGACAUGUUGGAAAUGAUAGAGCUAAUUGAUCAAAAAAAUUUCAUCUAUUUCUGGGGAAGAACACCAAAUACGGGUAGAGGGUAUCGUUAGGGUACCCCACCAUUAUCCAUAGUUUGUUUUCUAGUGACUGCCAUGUAUAAAUCGCUCUGGUGAAGGCUUCAAUACAUUCUUUGGGCAUUUAAGAAGCAAUUAUUUGAUUAUCUCGGGAUCCACCUUAUUUAAGGGUAUAUUUCCUUCAUGUGCUUCGAAGAAAAAAAUAAAAUCACAGGGCCUUCUUCCUUGUAACUUCAGAGGUACCAUCGACAGAAGAACAUAGUCGACAAUGCUUUUAAGCGUAUCAUGAUCGAGGAAUGGAGUGCUGAUCUGGGGUUGGUGGUGCCAAGAGUGGAGAAGAUGGUAGAUGAACCGGCUAUCUUGAAGGCGAUUAAUGAUAGCGGGGCUCCCAACACAUCUUGGUCUGAAAGCCCAUUGAGAUCAGCUGAGGUACCUCAGAUGAGGUAUCUAUAAGGUACCCCUGAUACUAACCCUUGUGUUUUUGCUACUUUUAGCACUUUAUUGAUCCCUUCAUCCUAAGGGAUGAAGUUGAAGAUAAAUAUCCUGUUGUAUAACCUUGUUCGACAUUACUGACAAGAUGUAUGGGGUACCUUGUUAGCCUAUAUGGCUAUAAAUAUUGAUUUUGAUGAUAACAAACCACAUGUAUUUAUUGAGUAAAGAUUUAUGAAUUGUGCUUUUAUAAUGAGAAAAUGAUGUUAUGGAAUUAAAUCUUUUUGAACUAAAAUGAAAGUAAUUUUAAAAUCUUUGAUAGUAUUUUAAAUUUCGGAUUUGUACAUAUUUGAAACUAUUUAAAUGUUUUUAGGUCAUUUUGUAAUUUCACAAAGUUUGGGCGAAGUCAUAAUUUCAUAAAGUUGUGGGAUUGAGAAAGCAUUAUCUAAAAUUAUGAAAUUGGACAUAUUUGCAAACGUUUAUAACGUUUUGGGCCAUACCACAGUUUUAUAAAGUUUUAGGGUCAAAUUGAAAAUAUUAGAAAAUUUUCACUGUAGCAGGUUACUGUAGCAAGCAGCUUACCGGAUUCAGAAAAUCAGAAAUCCGGAUUCGAGGCAGUAAGCAUCCAGAACCAAAACGGCUUACCGGAUUCCUGAAUCCGGCAAACCGGUUAGGCAAAAUUUUGAAUUUUGCCUUAACGGUAACAUAAAUCCGGCUUACCGAAUUCUAUAAAAUGGCAAACUGGAUAGCCUAGAAUGUGAGUAACGGCUAGUUUUCGAGCUCAAGCUAUAAGAACUCAAAUCCAACUCAUUUUGAAGCUCUCCAACAAGCAAGAACAAAAAGCACACGUGAUAUCUUGAGCCUUCAACUUGUAAAACACAAUUCAUUGAAUCAUUCAUUGUUCUUCAUCUUUGAAUAUCUACUCAUUGAGUGAGUUUCAUUGUAUCUUUCAUUUCUUCAAUUCAUUUGUAAGAGUUUGAGUGUGUGAGACACUUGAGUGAAGAGAUUGGGAGAUAAUCUCUUUGUUGUAAAGGUUUAUUGACACCUCGAAGUCAAUUGUAAUCGUUGAAGCCUUGGAAAGGCUUGGAUAGUGAAAUCCUCGAGCUUGGAUCGCUUGGAGGCGUGGACGUAGGCGGGGAUUACCGAACCACGUAAAAAUUCGUGUGUUUGUUUCUCUUCUCCCUUACUCUUUAAUUAUUGUACCAUUAUUGAACUUAUUACUUUCAAUUAUUGUUAAGACAUUAGAUUGCUUGUUGUGUGGAUUUGUUAGGAUAAUUUUUAAAAAUCCAAUUCACCCCCCUCUUGGGUUGCACACUUGUAUUUCAUACCUCAUGUACCCUAAUGCUUGGAUAUCCCUUGAGCUAUCUGUUACUUCAUGGCGGAAUAACCCAAUUGCAUCAAACAUAUGGCGAUUCUUCCAGAUAUGCUUGUCGCUUAUCUUAAGCUUUCUUAGGGUUCCUCCUGGUGUAUCUGAGGAAUAGCUUUCUGGCGUGGGGUACCCUUAAUCAGCGUAUGGUGAUUUUCAUAGAAAUGCUUGCCGCAAAUCUUCACAAAACUUGUUGCGGUUGCUUUUGAGAGAUUGUGCGGGGUACCUUGAAUCAUGCCGGGUAUCUCAGAUUGUGCGGGGUACCUCAAAUUGUAUGGGGUACCUCUAAUCGUGCGGGGUACCUCUAAUCAUGUCGGGUACCUCGGAUUGCAGUGAAGUUAUUCCAUUCGUUGACACGUGGCGUUCUGCUAUCUUUCCUAUUUUCCCCCAAACAAUUAGUAAAGAGAGCUAAAGAACUAGCUUUAGUUACGAGCAGAAAAUCAGAAGUCAAGGAGCAGCCAAAGCACUUUUAAUGGUGAUGGUAAAACUAGAGAGGUAAUGCAAAUAAGUUUACGUUGAUUGGAUAUUCAGAAGAAGUAAUACGCCAUUAAAAGCAACAAGUUUUCCAAAAAGCCAACAAAGACAGAGACCACCACACCACCCCGCACUGGAUGAAAAACGAUGAAAGCAUGAUAAGUGGCAUCGAGUAAGCCACGUUCUCUCUCUCUCUCUCUCUCACUCGCACUCGCACUCGCACUCGCACACACUGUUACUAAAAUGACCAAAAAUAAGAUUCCCAUCAAAAUAUUUUCGAGUAUCGUUCUUGAAAGUGGCGGCGGCUGAUGAUGAUGAACACAGCCGCGAUUGCGAUUGGCGAAGGCGGCGUUCUGCCCGUAUCACAGCUAGUUAUCGGUCGCGGCAGAAAAGAUAAUGAAACGACGGCUGAUGAUGAUGAUGAUGAUGUUGAACAGCCGCGAAUAUGGGUAAGUGAUGCGACGAUGAUUUGAUUUGAUGAAGAUGAGCUGAACAUGGAAUAAGAGAGGAAAUGUUUGUGCGGCUGGGAAAGUGUAAUGAACUGCUAGGGCACCAUUUGGGUUUUUUUGCUUUCCUAUUUAUAUUAAAAAUAAUUUUUAAAAAUUAAUAUAUAUCCGGGUUCGGGUUUUGGAUGUACGGGUUUACCUAGACCCGGACACAUGCGGAUUCAGCAGCACCGACCACCCACAGACUUGGAUUUGAUUACAAAGUUGGGACUUAGGAUUUGGGUUUGUGGCUGCCGAAACAGAAAGUGAGAGAGUAGAAAGUAGAGACUGAGAGUGGUGCAAACAUGUGUAAUUUUGUGUGUGUGUCUAUAUAUAUAUAAUGUGAAAUUACAAAAAUGCCAUUAUAUCAGUUCAAUUCGAAUUUUGUAACUUGUGAUCCGAAAACUGAACCAAACCGAACCAUUUGGUUUGGUAUUUAUAUAUUCAGGUUUUUAAUUUAAAAAAACUAAAUUGAAAUUGAAAGAACUAAACCGAACCGAAUUUUUUUUUUUUUUGUUUCGAUUCAAUUAUGCCCAUCCCUACUUAGUAGGCUGGGUAUCAAUUUCUUUGAAUUGUGCUUUCAUUGCAGUAAUCUCCUCCUUGGUAAUAGGUUUAAUUGCUUGCUGAUGCCACCUUUCCUCUAGUAACAACUAGUCUAACAAGCCAUCAUCGUCAAACAUGUACCUAUUAUAAGCAUCAUCCAGAAUUUGCUCUCUUUGCUUUUUGCUUAGUGUCUUCUUUGCACAAGCUAUUAUCUUAGCUUUUGUAUCAAUAUCUUUAUCUUUUGAUUCACCAGAGGAUGAAUCAUCACCGGAAUAGAGUGGUGAAGGCCCCAUAGAUUAGUGUGAUCAAGUUCUAGUGUAGUUUUGGUUUUGAUUUCAGUAUUAGGAAAAUGAAGCCUAUGAAAUUUACCAAGCUAACAUGCUUCACAAAAGUGCUUUAAUACUUGACUAUGAAUACUUGAAGAGGAUAAAUGAGGAUAAAUAAAUUUAAAUAUACAUUAGAUUUUGAGGGUUGGGAUGUCAAAACUUUUGGUGAAAAAGAGUUAGUACAAGCAUUUUUAUUGAGAUUGAAAACAUUUCUUAAGAUGAUCAAUACUAGUUACAAAAUUGGAAUGAAAAAAAAAAGGCAACAUAGACAAAGGUUUGUUUAUUUGAUUGUAAGAUAGAAAAGACUUGUAUUUAGGUUGUGGAAAGGAUUUGAGCAGCAAUUUAUACAACCUUUUCUCAGCAAAACCUUCCUCUUCAAUGAAUCCUUCACAAAACAAAUAGAUCCAAGAAAUUCGACAAAUAAAUUGUUGUCAAUGGUAAGUUUUGAAAUGCUCAAUAGAUUCUUUGUAAUGGAUGGAACAAACAGUACAUCCUUAAGUAAAAUAUGUCUUAUAUUAUCUUUUUUUAAUUCUUUUUAAAAAAAUAAGUGAAUAAUAGUAUGUCAAUCUCAAAUAUCAAUAUGUACAAUUUUUAUUUGUGUAAGAAUUUGCAUCCAAUAAUCAUCAAUACAUAAUUGUCUUUUAAUUGAAUGGUUCUCACCUCCCUUCCAAACUUUGAAAAGGUAAAAUAAGAUCAAUCAUGUCAGUGGCAAUUAAUAUAAAGAUUACUUUUCUUAUUUGUAGUAACGUCCUCUGAUUAUUUAGCUGAUUUUCAAGCUACACAUUUAUUCCAUUUGAUGUUGAUAUUAGUAAAAUUAAUGUAAUAUUUAAAAAGGAAAAAAAUCCGUCGAGCUAAAAGCCGAGUAUAAAAUUGAACCAGACCCAAACCAGAAACGCACGCCAACAACAUGUUUGCGUCAGUCGGCCCAUGCCCAUAAACCCACCAAGCCCGAUCCAAAUAGAAAAAUGAAUUGGACACCCGAGAUAGCAGAAACAGAUAAGUAACGGUCGUGCUAUCCCCAAUCUCAUAUCUUCAACGGUAUCCAGCCAACAUCUCAAAGUGUUCAAUUUUUUUUUAAGCCAAAAAAAAAUUCAAAAUUUUCAAGCGGAAUCUGGGAAGAUAGCGAUGAAAAGCAAGAUUCUGGUUAUCGGCGGAACCGGAUACAUCGGUAAGUACUUAAGGUGCGUUUGAAAUUGAGGUUGAGCAACUAUAACUUUAAAACUGCAGCACUAAAAUAUUUGGUAAACACUAAUUGUUGUAACUUAAAAGCUAUUUAAUAUAAUUUUUCACUUGUAUAAUAAAAAAUUUAUUAUCUUUAAUAAUUUUGUCAAAAUUAUUAUUUAAAAUAUAUACAGUAAGAGAGAUUGUAACAUUUUCAAUCUUUGGUUUGAUAUUCUGGAAGAAAACGAUUUGCCGUUUAUGGAGAAAACUGCUAACCGUUUAAUUUCAGAGAGCAUGUUUUCUAUUCUAGAGAAAACGGCUAACCGUUUGGAGAAAACGGCUAACCGUUUGGAGAAAAUGGCUAACCGUUUGGAGAAAACGGCUAACCGUUUAAUUCCAGAGAGCAUGUUUUCUGUUCUAGAGAAAAUGACUAACCGUUUGGAUAAAACGGCCAACCAUUAAUUACAGAGAGCAACUUAUUUGACAUUCUGGAAUAAAACGGCUCACCGUUAUUGAGAAAACGGCUAACCGUUUAUUUCCAGAGAGCGUGUUUUUGCGUCAACUGGAAAAACGGUUAGCAAGCUUAGAAAUUUCAAUUGUCAAUCGAUGCAAACUCAAACCAAAAGAGUGUUUUUUUGAAGAAGUACUAUUUUUAAUGGUUGUAUUCUUUCAAAUAAACAUCUUCUUUAUUAAAGAUAGACAAACUAUUAUAUCAUAAUUAGAUUUUGCAGGUUUCAUAUAUGUUCUGGAAAUACAAUCUUAUUUUUUAGAGAUUGUAUUCAGGAUUUGAUAUAUCUUAGGGGUAAUUUGCCAUUAAAACUCUAUAGCAAACCAAGAUUGGUGAGGGUAAAUAAAACCUUAAAGAAAAAUGUGCAAACACGUCUCAAAUCCUAAGAAAUUUUCUUUGUUCUUUGCCUCCAUAUUCUUAAAAUUUGAAAAUUCACCCAUCAAUCUUUAAGGUUUUAUUUUGAUGCAAAUAGAGGCUGAGAAGAGUUUGACGUCAUUUCUUAAUCCUAGUGUCCAUCUCGAUCGUUUUGAUGGAACAAAUUUCACUCGUUGGAAGGAAAAAUUGUUCUUUCUUCUUACUGUUCUUAAAGUGGCAUAUGUUCUUAAUCCGAAAUUGGAACCAUUUCCAGAACCAAGGGAAGAUGAUACCGAAGUUGUUAAGGCUGUAAGGAAACGUCGUGAAGAUGAUGAAUUGAUGUGCCGGGGUCACAUACUCAAUACGCGUUCUGACAGGUUAUAUGAUCUCUACAAUUUUAUGACUUCUUCGAUGGAAAUUUGGAAUGCUCUUGAGUACAAAUACAAAACGGAGAAAGAAGGUACUGACAAAUUCCUUGUCUCUAAAUAUUUUGAAUUUAUUAUGGUAGACACACAAUCCAUUCUUGAUCAAAUACAUGAGUUAUAAAUUAUUGUUGCUAAGCUUCGAGAGUUAAAAGUUAAAAUUUCUGAAUCAUUUCAAGUUGGGACUAUUAUUGCUAAAUUGCCUCAAAGUUGGAAUGAUUAUAGAAAGAAACUCCUUCAUAGUAAAGAGAACAUAACUUUAGAAGAAUUGCAAAAACACUUGGUAAUUGAAGAAGAGACUAGGUCUCGCGAAUCCAAGGAUAAACAUGAUUCUACUAAAGUUAAUGUUCUUGAAGCUAGUAAAUUCUCAAAGAAUUUUAAAGUCAAGAAUGACAAGAAAUUUAAGAGGUCCAGCACACAAAAGUUUUCUGGAAAUUGUUUCUUUUGUGGUAAGAAAGGUCAUCGCCAAAGUGAUUGCAGAUUCAAGAAAAAAAAAGAAGAAGUGAAUUCCUAUAAAGCUAAUGUUAUUGAAAACAAAUCUGAAAAGAUUUGUGCUAUGGUUUCUGAAAUACAAAUUGGCAUGAUUAUCGAAACCAAUAUGGCUGAAACUAAGUCCUAUGAUUGGUGGCUCGAUUCGGGUACAACAAUUCAUGUUUGUAAUGAUAAGAAAUUUUUAUUAUCAUACAAAGAAGAAACGGAAGGACAAAUGGUUCUCAUGGGGAACAAUAAUGCAGCCAUAGUAGCAGGGAAAUGAGUAGUUGAGAUCAACUUCACUUCUAGAAAGAAAGUCACAUUGUAUAAUGUCUUUCAUGUACCUUCCGUUAGGAAGAAUCUUAUUUCUGCUAGUUGUAUGUGUAAGCAUGGGCUUAAGAUUGUGCUUGAGGGUAAUACUUGUAUUAUCUCAAAGAAUGAAUUAUUUGUUGGGAAAGGGUAUUCUUGUGAUGGAAUGUACAAACUCAACAUUAAUAAUAAUAAUAUCAACUUAGCUUAUAUUGUUGAGUCUUGUGAUGUUUGGCAUGCUAAAUUAGCACAUUUGAAUUUUAGAUCUUUGAAAUACAUGUCUGAGCAUGGUUUGAUUAAUUGCAAUGAUGUUAAAGGUCAUAAGUGUGAAAUCUGCAUCCAAGCUAAAUUAACUAAGAAACAUUUUCUUAAAGCCGAACGAAAUACUCAAAUAUUGGAUUUAAUAUAUACCGAUAUUUGUGAGUAUAAUGGCGUUUUAACAAGAGGAGGUAAGAAGUACUUUAUCCCUUUUAUUGAUGAUUGUUCUAGAUACACUUAUAUGUAUUUACUUAGAACAAAAAAUGAAGCUUUUGAUAAAUUUAAAAUUUUCAAAGCUGAAGUUGAGAACCAAAAAGAUAAGAAAAUCAAAAUGGUUCGUAGUGAUAGAGGUGGUGAAUAUUUCUCAAUUGAAUUUAAUAAUUAUUGUGAAGAAUUUGGAAUUAUUCACCAAAGAUCAGCUCCAUUUACUCCUCAACAAAGUGGUUUGGCUGAAAGAAAGAAUAGGAUCUUCACGGAUAUGAUAAAUUCCAUGAUCCAUAAUGCAAAACUACCAAAUAAUUUGUGGGGGGAAGCAUUACUCACUGCAUGUCAUAUUCAUAACAGAAUUACAUCUUUGAAAACACAUAUAUCUCUUUAUGAAAUUUGGAAAGGAAGAAAACCAAACUUGAUGUAUUUAAGGGUCUAGGGUUGUUUAGCUUUUUAUAAAAUACAUGAUCCUAAAUCAUCAAAGUUAAGUGCUAGAUGUAUAAAGAGUGUUUUCGUAGGAUAUGCUGAAAAUUCUAAGGCUUAUAGGUUGUUAGAUUUAGAUUAUAAUGUGAUUGUGGAAUCUAGAGAUGUUGAAUUUAUUGAGAAUAAAUUUCAACAUGAUUCUAAUAUUGAAUUAGAAUCAAUUAUUGAUCAACCAUGUGUUAAUACUCCUGUUACCUCCACUAACAAUAAUAAAAGGAAAGAGUCUAUGACAUCUUUCGAACCAAUGAGGAGUCAACGUGAAAAGAAAGAAAAGAGUUUAGCUCCGGAUUUUAUUUCAUCACAAGCACUACUCUUCUUGGUUGAAGGGGAUAGAAAGAAUGUACUUAACAAAGUACCAUUAUUGUUAAAUAUUGAAAAAGAUCCAAAGACAUUUAGCGAAGCUAUGUCUUCUAGAGACGCUUCUUUUUAGAGAGAGGCGGUAAAUGAUGAAAUUGAUUCGAUUAUUUCGAAUCAAACAUGGGUCUUGGUUGAUCUUCCUCCAGGAUCUAAACCAAUUAGCAGCAAAUGGGUAUUUAGAAGAAAGUACAAUAGUGAUGGUUCUUUGCACACUUUUAAGGCUAGAUUAGUAGCCAAAGGGUUUAAGCAAAGAAAUGGUAUUGAUUAUUUCGAUACAUAUGCUUCGGUAGCAAGGUUAACUUCUAUAAGAGUGCUAUUUGCAAUUGCUUCAUUGAACAAUUUGUAUGUGCAUCUAAUGGAUGUUAAAACCGCUUUUCUUAAUGGUGAUCUUGAUGAAGAAAUCUAUAUGGAACAACCUGAGGGAUUUGUUUUACCAGGAAAUGAGAAAAAAGGUAUGCAAAUUAGUCAAAUCACUUUAUGGUUUAAAGCAAGCACCAAAACAAUGGCAUGAGAAGUUUGAUUCGGUAAUUUUAUCUCAUGGUUUUAAGCAUAAUAAUGCUGAUAAAUGUAUAUAUUUUAAAUUUACGAAUGAUUUUGGUGUGAUUAUAUGCUUGUAUGUUGAUGACUUGCUUAUCUUUGGGACAAAUAUGCAAGGAGUAGAUGAUACAAAGAAGUAUUUAACUUCACAAUUUAAGAUAAAAGAUCUUGGUGAAGUAGAUACUAUCUUAGGUGUCAAAGUGAAGAAACAUAGUGAGGGUUACUCGUUGUGUCAAUCUCAUUAUAUAGAGAAAGUGCUUCUUAAAUUCAAUUAUUUGAAAUUUAAAGAAGCUAAUACCCCAUAUGAUUCUAGUAUUAAAUUAUUAGAGAAUUCAGGCCGAGUAGUAGCACAACUAGAAUAUGCUAGUGCUAUUGGUAGCUUGAUGUAUGCUAUGCAUUGUACGAGGCCUGAUAUAGCAUUUGCAGUUUGCAAAAUGUCAAGAUUCACGAGUAACCCUAGUGUUGAACACUGGAAAGCAAUUGGUAGAAUACUUGGUUAUCUUAAAAGGACCAUUCAUUUGGGUUUAUUUUAUAAUGAUUAUCCUGAAGUACUGGAAGGAUAUUCAGAUGCUAGUUGGGUAACCAAUACAAGAGAUAAUAAAUCCACUUCUGGUUGGAUUUUUACAAUUGUUGGAGGAGCAGUUUCCUGGGCUUCAAAGAAACAAACGUACAUAACUCAUUCAACAAUGGAAAGUGAGUUUAUAGCACUCGCAGUUGCAAGCAAGGAAGUAGAAUGACUGAGAAAUUUGUUGUUUGAUAUAAUGUUAUGGCCACAACCGAUGCCAUAUAUUUCUUUGUACUGCGAUAGUGAAGCUACAUUGUCUAGAGCUUAUAAUAAAGUGUAUAAUGGAAAGUCUAGACAUAUUAGCUUGAGACAUGAAUAUGUGAAACAAUUAAUAGCAGAUGGUGUUAUUAAUAUUGUUUAUGUUAGGACUAAUAAGAACCUAGCGGAUCCUUUAAUAAAAGGUCUUACAAGAGACUUAGUUAAGGAUACAUCUUUUGGAAUGGGAUUGAAACCUUUAAAUAAUAAAGUCACCAACGACGAUAACCCAACUAUGUAGUAGUUGUACCGCUACUCCAUAGUUAAAUGGAUAAUAACAAGUUGUUGUUAUGUGACUGGUUUGGCACCGAGUAAUAAAUAAUCACAUUCGAGAUAUUCGGUGCAAAUAGCUACGAGGUUGAGGUUGAGUAUUUAUUCUUAAUGAAGUUCAAGUCUUAUAGUAGCUAAAGACAUGAUUUGAAACUUCACCUAAGUGAACAUAAGAAAUGGUGCCGUUUCUAACAAGAUCAUGGUUUAAUCUAGUAAAUGUUCAUGAAUUCAAGAUAGAGCACAAGGCCGGAAUAGUGCUAAAUAUUGGAACACAACUUUGAAAAUCUGGGAUAGCUUAUAUGUGAUGUAUCUCCGGUAUUUACUUAAGAGACAAAGUUUAAUGCUUAGCACAUUAUUGUCUUGUAAAUGCUUUGAAAUACACUCACUAAUUAAAGGUUAAAAUCGAAAGAUAUCUUUUUGUAUGUAUAAGUUUAUCAUUAAUAAAUAUGAAAAAUAUUACAAUCUAGUGGGGGAUUGUAAGAGAGAUUGUAACAUUUUCAAUCUUUCGUUUGAUAUUCUGGAAGAAAACGGUUUGCCGUUUAUGGAGAAAACGGCUAACUGUUUAAUUCCAAAUAGCAUGUUUUCUGUUCUAGAGAAAACGACUAACUAUUUGGAGAAAAUGGCUAACUGUUUAAUUCUAGAGAGCAUGUUUUCUGUUCUAGAGAAAGCGGCUAACCGUUUGGAUAAAACGACCAACCGUUAAUUACAGAGAGCAACUUAUUUGACAUUCUGGAAUAAAACGGCUCACCGUUAUUGAGAAAACGGCUAACCGUUUAUUUCCAGAAAGCGUGUUUUUGCGUCAAUUGGAAAAACGGUUAGCAAGCUUGGAAAUUUCAAUUGUCAAUCGAUGCAAACUCAAACCAAAAGAGUGUUUUUUUGAAGAAGUACAAUUUCUAAUGGUUGUAUUCUUUCAAAUAAACAUCUUCUUUAUUAAAGAUAGACAAACAAUUAGAUCAUAAUCAGAUUUUGCAGGUUUCAUAUAUGUUCUGGAAAUACAAUAGAUCAUAAUCAGAUUUUGCAGGUUUCAUAUAUGUUCUGGAAAUACAAUCUUAUUUGCUAGAGAUUGUAUUCAUGAUUUGAUAUAUCUUGGGGGUAAUUUACCAUUAAAACUCUAUAGCAAACCAAGAUUGGUGAGGACAAAUAAAACCUUAAAGGAAAGUGUGCAAACACGUCUCAAAUCCUAAGAAUUGUUUUUUGUUCUUUGCCUCCAUAUUCUUAAAAUUCGAAAAUUCACCCAUCAUAUACAUACUACAUAUUAUUAACUUUUGUUUUAUAACUAUAGUGUUUUUUUUUUACCGCAACUGUAGUUUAAAAACUACAGCACCUCAAUCCCAAACAAGACCUUAGUGGAAGCGAGCGCAAAAGCCGAUCACCCAACAUUCGCGCUUGUGAGAGACUCCACUCUCUCCACUCAUUCCAAAUCCAAAAUCCUCGACCGUUUCAAAAAUCUCGGCGUCAAUUUAGUUCUUGUGCGCCACUCUUUUAGCUUUCCAAUUUUCCCGCCAAUUUUCUUUUAUUGUGAUUAAUUAAUUAAUUAAUUAAUUAAAGUAAAGAUUUUAUAUUAUAAUUUUGUUUGCAGGGAGAUCUAUACAGCCAUGAGAGCUUGGUGAGUGCAAUAAAGCAAGUGGAUGUUAAGGUAAUGAUUAACUUAAGUAAAUGCGUUAACUAAUUACUUGGGAUUUUAAAUUCAAAUGCGUGAAUUGUUCUAAAAAAUGAUUUAUGUUUAUUAGUCAGAGAUUCUUUCCUUCAGAAUUUGGAAAUGAUGUUGAUCGCGUGCAUGCCGUUGAGCCAGCAAGAACAUCAUUUGCCACCAAGGCUAAAAUCCGCCGAGCUGUUGAGGCUGAAGGAAUUCCAUACACCUACGUAGCUUCCAAUUUCUUCGCUGGUUUGUAUCUUUCCAGUUUCUCACAGCCUGAAGCCACAGCUCCUCCAAGGGAUAAAGUGGUCAUCGUAGGUGAUCGAAAUGCAAAAGGCAAAGCGCUUCUGGAUACAUUUACUCUGUACACGCAAUGUGUGGUUACUGUUUGGGGAUAAAAAAGGAGAUUAAUUAAUAAAGAAAAUGAAAUUAUUGAGGGAUUUGCUGAAGAGUUGCGUGCACUCCUCAUUUUUCUCCACCACUCAUCUUACUUGCAAAAUGCAAUGACCAAACUAUCCUCGCCAAAGCCUAGACAUUUACUUGUGUUCAAAGGCCAUUUAAGAGAGACAAGUACAAAAAAUUAUAAAGGAUAGUGAGCAAAAGAAGAAAAUGGAAGGAGGGGAGAAUAAAAAAUGGGAGUGGGGCGUUAUCUAGGGAGGAUUUUUAUUUUUAUUUUUUUUCCUCUCUUCUCCAUGGCAUCUCUUUCUCUCUUUCUCCCACUAAGAAAUUCUUUCUUUUACACUCUAUUUUACUUUUAUUCAAAUUACACAAAAAACUUUUGGUUUUAAGGCAAUGUUUAUUAAGCCACGUGAAUUUGAAAAAGCAGGAAUAAGGGGAUGAUUUUAACACAUUAAUUCACCAACAUUAAUUGGAAAAGAUCAGUUGCCACUUCGAAUCAGAGUAAUUUCUUCGGCAAUAGCCAAAUAUUGAUAUUUGAUCUUGACACUGUAGUUAAAUCAAUGUAACUGGUUUUGUCAUUUGAUCCCCAGUAAUUUUUAACAAGGAAGACGAUAUUGGAAUUAAUUCUAUCAAAGCGGUGGAUGAUCCGAGAACACUGAACAAAAUACUUUACAUCAGACCCCGUUGCAAUAUCUACUCAUUUAAUGAUCUUGUGUCUCUGUGGGAGGAAAAGAUUGGCAAAGCCCUUGACAGGGUCUAUGUUACAGAGGAACAACUUCUGAAAAACAUUCAAGGUUAGUUAGAACUAUCACUUUAUCAAGUGCAUAGAUGUAACUGACCGAUAAUGGAAUUUUUUUUCCUUCUCCAAAAUGCGAUAGAAUCUAAUCGGUUUCAACAAUCUCAAGAACACCUAUUCAUGGUUGUGUUGUUUGAAAUCUGUAUGUAUCAGUUUUCUUUCUAGAUCUCAGAUUGCUCGCAAGGAUGUCAAGUUUUGAUGAUGCUUGCCUGUUUUCCUGUGUUUACAGAAGCUUCAUAUCCACUCAAUAUGAUAUUACCUAUUGGGCACUCUGCCUAUGUCCUGGGAGAUCAGACCAACUUCGAAAUUGAACCUUCAUUUGGAGUAGAGGCAACAGAGCUUUAUCCAGAUGUCAACUACACUACUGUGGAUGAGUACCUCAACCAGUUCAUAUAAACCUUCUGAGAUGAGCAGCAGGAUCCUAACAAAAAAUUGGGUGGUUUCCAUCCCUGAUUCUAUGGUAUAAAGAUAGCGGCUUUCCCUGCUUUUGCCAGUUCAAUGAAGUUUGUUAGAUGAUGUUAUUUAUACUAUACUAGCAAAGAUCAAGUUGCCUUUCUUGUCAAGAAGCCAAGCUCUGGCAUUGGUUUAUGCUAGUUUUUCAUGUUUAUUACUUUUUUUGCAUUCAAAAUGAUAAAACUGCAGAGGUUGUUGCAUGCACGUCAUUUGUUAGUAGGGGUAUCAAUUUAUGAACGUAUGAAGUAUCUCUUCUGCAACGGCAUCCUCCUUAACUGUCAGUAGGAUCACAAUAAGUCGACCAACCAUCUACCGUAUGGAUUAUCUAUAAAUUGAAAUUGGUGUGUAUUAUGGAUCUGUCACUCUGCUGUUUCUGUUUUCUUUUCUAUUUUUACCAAGAAAGAAACAUUGUUAAAACUGAAUGGUUGUUAUCUCGUCUUGUUGUAAUGUUGUGUAUGCUUUCUAGAAAAUAAUGAAGUGCCAAAUAUGAAAAUACUAGUGGCUACCUUACCAUCCUUAAUAAGUUGUCUGAUUGUCACCGUCAACAAUCACUCUCAGCAACUCAUAAUCCAUUUAAGCAUAUUAUAAAAUAAUCAAUUUUGUAUUUGCACCAACUUUUAGUUUUAAAUGACAAUUUCGUUGAUCCCCACACUUCUGUACUAAUCAAAUCCACUGAAACUGGACUUUUUUUUCUUUUUUUUUAUAAUUACAUCGAUUGCAUUGGCUAUUGCAGGGAAAAGACUGCCUCUACAGGGAACUAAACUUUCAGAAUUGUUCUUAUGAGGGUUUGAAUAUGCUCUCGUACUAGGUCAAUGGCCUAUUGGUUCGAGACCAUUCACAAAGAAAGAAAUGAGUUUUGCUUGUAUAAAUGAAAGAAAUCCAAAUGAUAACUAAUGUAUAGUGGUACAUGAGAAAAAUAAUUUCAGCCCGUGUAAAGUCAAAAAGAGAAAAUAUUAAAAGAAAGGAUAAUGUCAUUGAGUUCGGUGAAGUGAAAGAAAAUGAAAAACAUGGGAUUUAGUCAAACUUAGUGUCCCAAUCAGCAGAAAAAGGUUUUAGAAACUCACCUCAAGUUAAGCCAACUAUUAGGAGCUUUAUUUAAUCAUGACUUUCUAAUGUAUAGUACUCCAAUACUAAACGAGGGCUACCUCUACGCUUGCAAUUGUAAAUGAAAUUGAGUUCGUGACGCACAAUGAAGUGAGCAAAAUGAGUUGAGAUCUGAGAAUAUAUUAAAGAAAAUAUGAAUCAAUGAAUUUUGGUUAAAAAAAACAAAUGCUGGUUCUUCAAGACCUGCGUGUAUUGUGUAAGUUUUGUUAGGAGAAGGAAAGCAUUUUGGUCUAAAACGCACUAAAUCGGAUUCAUUUGCUUGAUAUCUAAUAAGGGUGAAUUAACCACUCGCCCACAGCAAUUCAAGUCCCAAAAAAAUUAUUGUGGGGGCUAAAUUUCUUCUUUAAUUAUAACAAAUAAUUGAGUGGAGGAUAAAAAUUUAGGCCAUGUAUAACAAUAACUAAUAUAAACUAGUCCUAAUAAUAGUAUAAUUGUAAAUAUCAGUUGUAGUCUCAUACAAUAUAAGUUUAUAGAUUAUAAUAUCGGCAUAAAAAGAAAAAUGAUAUCUGACGGUCAAUCAAUAAAAGGACAAAAACUUGGAGUAACAUACCACAAAGUCAAUGUAGCUGGACAGAUGAAUAUAAUAUGUAAACAAAUUUAAAUGGGAUAAUACCAUACGGUACAUACAUAACAUUUUAAAACUGAAUUAAAAAAAUAAAAUUAAAACUGAAUUGGAAUUCGUAUGUGUAUCCAGCUACCUUGCAACAGUUGUAAGGUACCCUAACUUUGCAACAAUUUCAUCCUUCGUGCAUUCGGUCACAAAGUCCAAAUUAGGCACGUUUAAGAAUCGAACUGAAAAACUAAAAAAAAAGAAUCCGGCGAUAUUUGCGAACCGGAAACGAGCCAGCGUUAUGCUUAUGUCAUUUCAGAGAUAUCAACAGUCGUGCUUUCAGUCCUUAAACCUCAAGGGCAUUUUCGUCCUUUCACUCAAGCGUGAAACUGCAUGUAAGAACUGCUUCGCUUACACGCUCCAUGCACAUUUAAAGGCACCACUGUCGGAUAAAAAAUAUCCAUCCAUUUGAUCAUUUCAAAACAAAACGAAAAAAAAAAUCUCAGUAAUUGAACUGAACGAGUCUCAGAAAUGGCAUCGAAAAGUAAGAUUCUAUUCAUCGGCGGGACAGGGUAUAUCGGUAAAUUCACUGUCGAAGCGAGCGUAAAAGCCGGCCACCCGACGUUCGUGCUCGUGAGAGAAUCCACAAUCUCUGGUCCUUCCAAAUCUCAACUCCUCGAUCACUUCAAAAACCUCGGCGUCAAUCUUGUCAUAGUGCGUUUUCAUUUUUCUCUUUUCUUUAUUUUUUAUUCCGAUCAUUUUUACACGUCGAAGUGUAGCAUCUACUACUUAAUAUACAUAAUGAUAUUAUUAUUUUUUAAUUUUUUUGGGUUGCUGUUAUUAUUAUACAGGGAGAUGUGUUGAAUCACGAGAGUUUGGUGAAGGCGAUAAAACAAGUGGACGCGGUGAUAUCAACAGUUGGUCACACUUUAAUAGCCGAUCAGGUCAAGAUUAUUGCUGCCAUUAAAGAAGCCGGUAACGUUAAGGUAUGACAUAAUUAAUGUAAAUGUCUUAGAUUUCGAUCAGGAUUGUGCACUCGUGCACACGUGGUGAUUUAUUCUUCGUGUGGAGCUCGCUGUAGAGUAGAGCUCCCAGUUCCGCUAAUAAACACCCGUCAGAUGCGCAAUUGCGCCUCAAAAUAAUUUAAUUAAUUAAUUAGGUAUAAACACCGAUGGCAUGAAAGCAAUUAAAAUUAGUUGAUGUUUAUAAAUUAUUUAUUACUCAGAGAUUCUUACCAUCGGAAUUUGGAAAUGAUGUUGAUCGAGUCGAAGGCGCCGUAGAGCCAACAAAAUCGACGUAUGACGUAAAGGCGAAAAUCCGCCGAGCCGUUGAGGCAGAAGGCAUUCCGUACACUUACGUAGAAUCUUAUUGUUUUGAUGGGUAUUUCCUCCCCAAUUUGUUGCAGCCUGAGGCCACUGCCCCCCCUAGGGAUAAGGUUGUCAUCUUAGGCGAUGGAAAUCCAAAAGGUAAUAUAAUUUAAUUAAGCUCUGUUUGUUUGGUAUGUAUUGCGGUGUUAAUGUUAUUGUCUGUUGUACAAUGGAUGGUCUUGCUUGGUACUGUUGUUGGAGAGCUGCAGUGUUUUGAUAAACACCUCUAUAGUCUAUCCUUAUCCUUAGCUUUCAAGUUAAGUUGAUUUUAUACAACACUUGUUUAAUUAAAAACUUGUAAUAUUCUUACUACUUUGAUAAAAAAAAUAUUACGAUUAAAGUAUUAAUGGCACCAUAAUACGAAAUGAAUCUUAAGUGGUCAUUAUAGAUUUUAAGAUAGAGUUUUAAGUGAUUACCAGAUACUUUAGCUGCUGAACCGCCACAUCAUGGUUGCCACACAACAAUUUCAAACAGAACCUAAAUAACUUCAUUGCAAAACAGUUAAAUGAAUCUAACUUAGUUUCGUCGUUUGAUUUUCAGCUGUUUUUAACAAGGAAGAUGAUAUUGGAACCUACACUAUCAAAGCGGUUGAUGAUCCGAGAACCUUGAACAAAAACUUUUACAUUCAGCCUCCCGGUAAUAUUUACUCAUUCAAUGAUCUUGUGUCUCUGUGGGAGAGAAAGAUUGGUAAAACCCUCGAAAAGGAGUAUGUUUCAGAGGAGCAGCUCCUAAAGAAUAUUCAAGGUUGGUUAAAACUCUCUUUUUUAAAUGUAUUAAAGAGAGCCGUAUAUUCUCUGCCGUAAAUGUUAUUGAUCCUGUCUUCUCCAAAAUGUUGCAGAAGCUGCACCUCCACACAAUGUGAUAUUAUCAAUUUAUCACUCUGCUUUCGUGAAGGGAGUUCAAACCAACUUCAAGAUUGAACCAUCUUUUGGAGUUGAAGCCUCGCAGCUUUAUCCUGAUGUCAAGUACACUACAGUUGAUGAGUACCUCAAUCAGUUUGUGUAACCCUUCUCUGUUUCCAGCUGCAGCUUGCAGGAUCUUGGACUCUUGGUAAAUAAAUAAUUGGCUUGUUGCCAUCUUUGGUUUUAUAUGUAAAAAUUAUGGUUGUUGGCCUUACUUUCUUCUGGUUGUCCAUGGAAUUUGUUAGACCAUAUUAUGUUUGCUAUGUCAGUGAUCAAAUGAAGUAGGCCAUGUACUUGAUUUGAGAGUAGUAGUUAUAAAAAGCCAUCAUGAUCAGGUGGGUGCGUGGGUUGGGCUUCUAUUAGGGUGCGUGUGUUGGGCUUCAGGGGCUUGUGAUAUGGGUUCGACAGCCCCUAACGGGCAGUCAUUAUAAAAAUAAUUAUAGAGUUACAAAUCUAUGUAAAAAGCAAAAAUUAAAAGUAAUUUAUCAAUAAAAAUAAUUAAAAUUAA
RNAcentral lists this long non-coding RNA (57342 nucleotides) under Citrus maxima (pomelo). RNAcentral describes it as "long non-coding RNA (CMAX_LNC003344)". Lineage: Eukaryota; Viridiplantae; Streptophyta; Magnoliopsida; Sapindales; Rutaceae. The record is from RNAcentral.